CCUCCACCGGUGCUUAUGUCGAUGUUGUAUGGCAAGGAUGAGACAAGCAAAAAUUUCCGUGCUUUAAUUAGAGCAUACAAUAUGAUGUUCUCAUUCACGUCUCUUGGUGGUCAAAUUGAUAAUUCCGUGAACCAUGGGAAUGCACCGUAUGUGUUUCGCAUGCAGGGUCAAAAUUAUCAUCGCAUCGGUGAACUUUUGCCUGGCCCUUCCAGAAGUCCUGCUUUCUCGCAGCUCUAUAUUCAUGAUACCGUAAACGAAGUCUCGAAUAGGAUGGGUGUUAUGGGGUGAGUUGUUUAUUGUAAUAUAUUUUUUAUAUUAUGUCCACGAAUUAAUUUCCGUUUUUUGUUGUUUUUAAUUGUUUUAGCGAGAAAGGACCGGGUAAGCAAAUAAAGAAGAGUAUCGUUAAGACUUUGAAGGAUAUGUUAGAUGCUAACAACCCACACGUCAUCGCGUUUAGAUCAGCUAGAGAUAGAUUAGCACAGUGUGAAGAUACCAGCGGCUUUAAGUUGAUUUUGAAAAAUCAUCGAGAUAGUGACGGUAGAGUCCAAAAUAUACCUACGACUGACGAGGUUGCUGGGCUUAUCGUGGGAGAUAUAAACCCUAAACCGCGUGAUGUAGUGCUUCAGGCUAAUUCUGGAGGGUUUCAGCGUAUAAGUGAGCUGCACCCAUCCUACCUCCCUCUACAGUAUCCUUUGCUUUUUCCUUACGGCGAGGAUGGAUUUAGGUUAGGUAUCGACAUUGGAUUCAUCGAUAAAGGCGGUCUAAAAAGAACAAAGGUGACGAUGAGAGAAUUCAAUCGAGACGAGGUGAAUCUCCUACUAUUGUUAUGUCCAGGAGAUUAUAUCAGGAGAUUAUAUCAGCAGUUCCUGGUUGAUGCGUAUACGAUGAUCGAAAGCAACAGGCUUCGUUAUUUGUUUUUUAACCAGAAAAAUCUCCGCUGUGAAAACUAUUCGCAGAUUCUUAAAGUUUCUAAGAAAGGAAAUAAAAAUCUUUCCAUAGAAGGUAAUAAAAUUAUGAUACCAUCUUCUUUCACCGGAGGGCCUAGGUACAAGACGCAGCAUUAUCUUGAUGCGAUGGCUACUUGCAAGUAUUAUGGCUUUCCUGAUCUAUUUAUCACUAUAACUUGUAAUCCUGCGUGGCCCGAGAUUACUAGGUAUCUGGAAAAAUACAACUUAAAACCCGAGGAUAGGCCCGACAUCUGUUGUAGGCUUUUUAAGCUGAAACUCGAUAAUCUCAUUCAUGAUCUUACCCAUAAUAAGAAGCUGGGAACUGUCUCUUCUGGUAAGAUUGACCAAACUUUUAUAGCGAUAUUUGUGUCUCGCAUAAAUUAUGUGUUAUUAUUAUAUAUAUAGAAUUUUAGAAUCUUAAAUUUUUAACCUCUUAUUCUGUAAUUUCUUGUAUAUUUUACAGUUUUAUACACGAUUGAGUUCCAGAAAAGGGGUCUACCACACGCACAUAUGGUCCUGUUCCUAGCUCCAGGAUCAAAACUUCCAACUACUGAUGAUAUUGAUAAACAUAUUAGUGCAGAAAUUCCUGAUCCAGAGUUAGAGCCGUUUUUGUAUGAAGUUGUAGCAGAUAUGAUGGUGCAUGGUCCGUGCGGAGUUGUUAAUCCCAGCUGUCCGUGUAUGCAAAAAGGCAGAUGCACCAAAUACUACCCUAGGCCUUACAGUGAUCAGACUAAGGUUGAUGACGAGGGGUAUCCUAUUUAUAGACGGCGAGCGGAUGGCAAAUUCAUCGUGAAGCAAAAAUUUAAUGUCGAUAAUAGGUACAUCGUUCCAUAUAACGCUUAUUUAUCGAAAAGGUAUCGUGCUCAUAUUAAUGUCGAGUGGUGCAAUCAAUUACGAUCUAUCAAAUAUCUCUUCAAGUAUAUCCACAAAGGACCCGAUUAUAUCAGAGCAAAAAUACAAAAGGACGGUCAAGAAGAGGAAGUCCAUGACGAAAUAAAACAGUAUUAUACAUGCAGGUGCCAAAUGAGACUAAUUGUUUAUAAAAUGUUAUGUUAUCGUCUUAGACUAAAUACUGUUGUUGGGAGUUUUGAAAUUAUUGCCUCAUUCUCAUUAUUUUUUAUGUCGUUUCGUUUAUAGGUAUAUAUCUGCAUGCGAGGCCACUUGGAGAAUAUUAGCUUUUGCUACACAUUACCGGUCUACACCAGUAGAAAAACUUACAUUUCAUCUUCUUGGUGAAGAGGUUAUUGUUUUCGAUCCGAAUGAUCCUGUUGAUGAGGUUAUAAGUCGUAAAUCUAUCGGCCGUACAAUGUUCUUGGCUUGGAUGGAAUGUAACAAAGCGUAUCCAGAAGCCAGAGAAUUGACAUAUGCGGAUUUUCCAUCUAAGUUUGUUUGGAAAAGCAGAGAGCGUGUCUGGAAACCCCGAGUAAAAGGAUUCUCGAUAGGAAGGAUUAUGUAUGUUUCUCCUUCCCUUGGAGCCAAGUAUUAUCUAAGGCUCCUGUUAAAUUCUGUGACAGGUCCUACAUCUUACGAUGACAUCAAAACGGUAAAUGGCAUUAUAUAUCCUGAGUUUGUUGAUGCUUGCAAUGCACUGGGGUUGCUCGCAGACGACCGAAUAUUUAUAGAUGCGAUAAAAGAAGCGAGUUAUUUCGUGAAAGGUUUACCCUUGCGAAAAUUAUUUGUGAUGAUGAUCGUCGCCGGAGAUAUAGUAAAUCCUUUGCGAGUUUGGGAGGAGACUUGUGAUCUACUGUCGGAAGGUAUCUUAUUCGAACGUAGAAAAGUGUCGAGGAAUCCGGGUAGGUGGAUCAUCUCUAUUGUUUAUGAAAUAUAUAUAGCUGUCUUAUUAAUUGAAUAGUAAUAAUAGCAUGUUUCGUGUGGUUUGCAGCUUUGACGCUUUCUGAUAAACAAAUAAAAAAUUUCACGUUGGCGUCUAUUGAACUCUUGCUGCGGGAUAACGGGAAGACUCUGUCUACUAUCGAAGGAUUUCCGCAGCCGGAUGAUAUAUCUCUUGAUACGAGUACAAAUCGGCUGUUGUUGGAUGAGCUUGGUUAUAACCACGAAAAAGAAGCGAAAGAACACGUGAGACUCCUAGCCACGAUAACGGAUGAACAAAAAAUAGUUUACGAUGAAGUGAUGCAGGCAGUUUUAGAUAAAAAAGGCGGUGUCUUUUUUCUAUAUGGAUACGGGGGCACAGGCAAAACGUACGUCUGGAGUAUUUUAUCGGCUGCUUUAAGGUCUAUGGGACUUAUUGUUCUUAAUGUAGCAUCGAGCGGGAUAGCCUCUUUGCUGAUGCCUGGAGGUAGAACUGCACAUUCAAGAUUUUCGAUACCUCUAACGGCUGAUGAAUUUAGUAUGUGUGCGAUGAAACCAUCAUCCCAUCUCGGUGAGUUGGUAAAACAGGCUAGCUUAAUUGUAUGGGAUGAGGCUCCUAUGAUGAGCAGACAUUGUUUUGAGACGUUGGAUCGUAGUAUUCGGGAUGUUAUGAGAUGUAUACUGAUCGGCCGUUCGGCGGUAAACAAUUGUCUUUGANNNNNNNNNNNNNNNNNNNNNNNNNNNNNNNNNNNNNNNNNNNNNNNNNNNNNNNNNNNNNNNNNNNNNNNNNNNNNNNNNNNNNNNNNNNNNNNNNNNNNNNNNNNNNNNNNNNNNNNNNNNNNNNNNNNNNNNNNNNNNNNNNNNNNNNNNNNNNNNNNNNNNNNNNNNNNNNNNNNNNNNNNNNNNNNNNNNNNNNNNNNNNNNNNNNNNNNNNNNNNNNNNNNNNNNNNNNNNNNNNNNNNNNNNNNNNNNNNNNNNNNNNNNNNNNNNNNNNNNNNNNNNNNNNNNNNNNNNNNNNNNNNNNNNNNNNNNNNNNNNNNNNNNNNNNNNNNNNNNNNNNNNNNNNNNNNNNNNNNNNNNNNNNNNNNNNNNNNNNNNNNNUUACAGACGAUGGCGAUGCUGAUGUGGAGAUUCCUGAUGAUUUGCUGAUUUCUAAAUGUGGUGAUCCUAUCAAAGCCAUCGUACAUAAUGUUUAUGGGUCAACGUUGGUCAAGGAUAAGGAACUUUCUUUUUUCCAAGAAAGGGCUAUUCUUACUCCGAGAAAUAAUGACGUGUGCGUGAUCAACGACUAUGCGCUAUCACACAUGGAAGGUAGAAAAUUAAUGUUAAAACUUUUAUAUAUUGAUUUAGAGUAUGUUUACUAUUGUUUAUUAUUUUAGUUUGAUAGUGGAUUUAAUGUUGUUUAUUAUUUUAAUUUUCAUUCAUGUUGACGCCCCGGGGUUGUUAGGUGAAGAGAGAGUCUAUCUUAGUUGCGAUAGUAUUGAAUUAUCGGAUGCGGACAAAAGAGAUAAUAUGGUUUAUACACCCGAGUUUUUAAACAGCAUCAAAGUCUCGGGGUUGCCAAAUCACAGGCUGGUAUUGAAAGUCGGAGUUCCAAUCAUGGUUCUACGGAAUAUUGAUCCUAAGAAUGGACUUUGUAAUGGUACAAGAUUACAAGUGACUCAGUUAGCGAAUCAGGUUAUAGAAGCUAGAAUUAUUACUGGUACGAGAGUUGGAGACAUAGUUGUGAUUCCUAAAAUGUACUUGAGUCCCACCGAGACGAGGUUCCCAUUUAGAAUGAAACGUUGUCAGUUCCCGAUUGCGGUUGCUUUCGCAAUGACGAUUAAUAAAAGUCAAGGUCAGACUUUGACUAAUGUAGGUUUGUAUCUACCUAAGCCUGUCUUUUCGCACGGGCAAUUGUACGUUGCACUUUCGAGAGUCACAUCCAGGAGAGGCCUCAAGAUACUGAUAACAGAUGAUAGGGGACAGCCUCAAAAGACUACUAAAAAUGUUGUUUAUCACGAAGUAUUCCAGAACAUUCGUUAGUUUGAUUCUAGGAUUUUUCUCUCCUUUUACUACCUGUUUUGGGCUUUCAGCUUACGAUAAUUUUUUUGUUUUAAUUAUAUUUUUUAUAAUACAUUUUGGGUUUUAAAUAAAAGGAAAUUCCAUCGGAUAUUGCCAUCUUUAAAUAAAAAUGCUAAGAAAAUAAAAUGGAAAAUGUCACGCAAAAUGUUAUUAAACAAAAAAAGGGUUGCGACGGUACGUGUCUUGACAAAGGAAGGAAAAUCGAACAUAAAAACAAAAGGGCUGCGACGUUUCAUUGUCUAGGUUAGUUCCCUAUAUAUACUUAGUUGUUAAGCGUUCUUGUGGGCAGACCAUUAUCUUACGCCGCAUAACGAAUUUUCGCAUAGGAGCAGAUAUGUCUUCUCGGUUCACAUCGUCUUCUAUUGAACGUUACAACGAUUUCUCUCGGUUGAACCCUGCAAUUGUUGGAUGGCAUGUUCACGUUAAGGUUUUGCGUCGCUUCCACACCGAUGACUAUAUAUCGAAGGGUGGGCUAGGGUUACUUCUGGUUGAUGAUAAGGUAUUGGUUCGAAAUAAGAUUUGGCUUUUCUUUAGAUAUGUAUUAGCCUUUGUUGUUAUGGAUGUUUGCGGUUUCCCGACUUUUGUGAUUUUGGUUUUGUGAUGCAGGGUAAUCAGAUCGAAGCGCUUAUUUGUUCGCCGUUGACUUUUCAUUAUUCAACGUUUAUUGAAGAAGAUGAAUUCUACGCUAUUAUGAAUUUCAGAGUUGUGGAGAAUUCGGGAUUCACUAAACUAACAAGGAGUGACUUUAAGAUAAUGUUUUAUGAUGGUACUAUCGUUAAAGAAGCGUCUUCNNNNNNNNNNNNNNNNNNNNNNNNNNNNNNNNNNNNNNNNNNNNNNNNNNNNNNNNNNNNNNNNNNNNNNNNNNNNNNNNNNNNNNNNNNNNNNNNNNNNAGCUGCUGCGCAUUUACCGUGGGCAGCCCCUCACUGAGAAUACGAAGAGGAAGAGACGUAUGGGGAAUUUGGUUAUGAUGGGGAUGAUAGCAUAUAUCGCACAGUUUCUUUCUAUCUACAUGACAGACGGUACAUUCAUUAUGUUUAUAAUAGUUAGAGGAUAAAUACUAAUUAAUAUCCUUACACAUGUACUUUUUUACGUGUGAAGGAAUGCUAUGUUGAGAUGUCGCCUGUUUGGUAAAGUCGCUUUGACUUUCUACGACACAUUUAAAGAGCAAGCUGAUGGUGCUGUUAUUUGUGUUAUAAGAUGGGGACUUAUUCGUUGUUAUGGAGGUUUGUUUUGCCUGCUUAGUAUAUAAGAUGGUCGGGUUUGUUAUAGAUGUAUGCAUGUUAAAUAGUUAGUUUGAUCGAGUGCAGGUGAUGUGGCCAUACAUGCUACAGAUUGCACGCGUAUUGAGAUUAAUCCAGAUAUCCGUGGAGUGGAAUGCUUUGAUGAAUUGUAAGUUUAGUUUUCCGUAUAAUUAGAUUUAUGAUGUUUGGUGUCUGGACUAUAAUAUUGUUAAUUCCUACGCUUCGGUGUUAUUGUGAAGGGUCAAGAAAAACAUGUAGUUGGGUAUCUUGAAGAAGAAGGAAGGAUUUAUAGUCUCCGGUGGUGGAUGUUAAAGUUAUUAUGUUUCAAUUUCCGUUACGUUUUAACAGAGUUGUUUCAGCGAUACCUCUAUUAUGCGGAUCACUAUUAUCCCUUAGUUUUGUUUAUUUUUUAUUCUAUAGUUACGUUCUUAUUAUGGAUCAUAUAUUUACGGUGAUACGUUCGUCAGCGAGAACAUUUAAAUUUACAUCGAAUUUGUUAUUGCGUUGGGGCUUAAAAUAAUAUUUUAUAUAUAUGUUAAAUUGACCAUUUCGUUGAGGCUGCGAACAAUAUUGAAGGAUUCUUUUCUUUAGUCAUAGGCUUCAAAGUGUAUGCGUUAUAUAAAACUGGAAAGUGAAGGAGGACUUACACCUUCGUUAGUUUAAAUUAAUAACAUAAUACAUAAAUAUUUUUGUAAUUGGAUUCCAUUGAAAGUUUACUCUUAUCGACUUUGUUUACAGAAAAUAAAAAUAUAGAUUUGUCACAAAAAUGUAAACAUGCUUAAUCUAUGAUUUAGCGAGACGAUAAAAGUAAAUAUUGCGGUUUUUAUCUACGUAUUCGAUUCGAAAAUAUCUAUAAUAACUAUUUGGUAAAGCUAUAAUAUUUCCAGAAAAUUUUAUAUGCUAAUAUCGAAGAUUUACAUUUAUCUCUUAAUUCGAUUUUGUUAAUAUCCAUAAUUAUUAAAUUUUAUUCUAUAUUAGUCGAAAAGGUCGGUUAAAUCCUAAACAUUUUAUGGCUAUAUAUAGGAUCUACUACUCGCUUUCAACUUUAACGAAAUCUAUUAAGAUAUUAUACUUUUGUGCGUUAAAAAAUGUCGUCAAGCAGAAAAAGCAAAAAUUCACUAACUUUCAUCGAUGAUAUCAAUCCUAUUCACGAUCAGAAUAAGAUUAAGGUGUUAAUCCUGAGGCUGUGGAAGGCGUAUCAGAGAGAUGCGGGCAAUACAAUCGAGAUGGUUUUGGUGGAUGAAAAGGUUAUGAUUUGAUUAUUAUUUGAGAUUAUGUCUUCUAUAUCAUGUGUUUGCUUUGUUUUUGUAUUGUAUAAGUAUGCUAAGCAUAUUCUCUUUUUGGUUUUAAGUAGGGUUCAAGAAUCCAUGCAACUGUUGAAGACAAAAAUAUCAAAAAGUUCGACAGUGUCCUGAAAGAAGGUGAUGUCGUUACCUUAAAUCCUUUCAAGCUCAUCAAGUACUCUGGCGAUUAUAAGAGCAACAGUCUUUCUUUCAAGAUUUUGUUUUACCGAACAACCCAGGUCAAACCAUGUGAUGAUUUUCCAAAGGAAGUCCCUGAGAAGUAUUUUGUGGAAUUUGGUGAUGUUUUAAAUGGUUCACGAGACACGCGUGUUUUCGUUGGUAGGUCUGGUUUAAACAAAAUAUCUUAAUUAGUUUGAUAUUUGUUUAUCUUUACCGCUGUUAAACUAAAUAACGAUACGUAUUGUUGUAGAUGUUAUUGGUCAGAUUGUCAACGUUGGACCGAUAGAGGAUAUAAAAAUCAGAGGAAAGAGUACUCCAAAGCUCGACGUCGAGUUGCGUGAUCGUGGGUAUGUUAAUUAUGAUUAGUCAUUAUAAGAGUUUGGUUUUCUGUAUGCUUUGUUUUUUUGACGUGUUUAUCACGUAAAUAGGAACGUACGGUUGAUAUGUACUCUAUGGGCGGAUUUUGCUAAGCAAGUUAAGGUUUAUACUGAAGCAAAUCCAGCGGCUGUUGUUUGUGUGAUUAGGUGUGCUCAGGUUAAGGAGUGGAAAGGUAUAUAUGUUGGUCGAAUAAACUUCAAAUAUUCCGAUGACUGUUCUAAUUUUAAUUGUUAACUUAUUUAGGUAAUUGGACUAUAUCUAAUGCUAUGGGCGCAACACGUGUAUUACUCGAUCCUCCAGGCGUUUUUGUUGAUGAGUUCAGAUCAGGGUAAUAGACAUAAUAUUGUUUAUUUAUUAUGUUUUGUGUUAUUGUAUAUGUCUGUAUAGAUAUUAAUAUAGAAUUUUUUUUGUAGGCUACCAACCGAUGGCGUGGUCUUGACUAAUCAUGAUAAUAGUGAAUUGUUUGCUGGAUCAACUGUAUCGAUACGUGAUCAAUUCUUGGUGAAGAAUCAUAAACGAACUGUCCGAGAUAUAGUCGAGGCGUUAGAGGUAGACACCAUAAAUUUAUGCGUUGUUCUUUAUAUUCAUGCGUUUUAAAGGGUAAAAAAAAAAUUUGUUUGUUAAUUAGAACUGGUUGGUAUUUUAAGUCUGACCUCUAAAAUCUAUAGGAGGGUAUGUGUGUGACCAUGGUCACUGUUGGAUCCGUCGAGCGAACGUCGAAAUGGUAUUACGUUUCGUGUAAGAUGUGUAAUAAGAGUGUCGAGCCUUAUCCAGAAAAUUCUGGUGAUGAUGGAAAACCACCUCUUUACUAUUGCGGCGUUUGUGACAAGGAUGUAUCUGCGGUAGUGUUCAGGUGAUUGUGUCUUUUGAAUGCAUUGUUUAUGUCGUCUUGUGCAUGUUAAUACCGUCAUACUAUGUUGGUGUGUGUAGUUUUAGAGCUCGGUUGUUCAUUAUUUGUCCUGGAAUAACUGUUUGUUUUAGGUACCGAUUGGUUCUGGAGGUUUUUGAUGCAACUAACUACAAGGCAAGGUUUUUGUUGUUUGAUGCAAUGGGUAGUACCCUCCUUCGUAGAACUGCACAGGAGCUCUAUAAUGCAGUUUCUGAGGUAAUGGAUUCGCUUUUGCUAUUGUUUGUUAUGUUGUUUAUUCUAUUUUUAACGAUUAUUUGUUCGUAUGUUUAAUCUAUUUGCAUGGUUUAAUGAUAGAAUGACCCCUCUAUACUUCCCUCGGAGAUUGGGGCAUUGGUCGGGAGGCGGUUUCUUUUUAAAGUGAGUAUAGGUGGCGAUAAUCUGAAAUCGGAUCGGUCGCAUUACGUGGUACAGUUAUUUUCUGAAGAUGAUGAGCUGAUUAAAGACUAUUCUGAUGGUCUAUACUCCGAGGUUCGUGUUUUGUAGCUUGGGUUGUUCUGUUUAUAUGAAACUGUAUAUAUGUGUUAAGUUUACUAAAUAUUCGGUGUUUUGCUUUAUAUAUACUUAAUAUUGGUGUUUCUAAGGUUUUGGUGCCUUUGCCCGUAACGCCUAUUACAAAGGAGGCCAGUGUUCGCCGUGGCGGUGUAUCCGUCGAGAAUCCAAAACCUCCUGCGAAGAAAAUCAAAAUCGAGGGCAAGAAAGAAGAGAGUUUUGCCACAACUUAAAGAAGAAUUUGGUUUUAUAUAUAUCUAGAUUUAGCGGUUUUAUUUAUAUUUAAAUAUCAUAGCAGACUUUACAAUACAUUGUGCGACUUUAUGUUCGAUUUUUGUUGUGACUGAGUCUGGAUGUUAUUUGGUGUUUUCGUUAUUUGUUUUUUUUGUUUUUUUAUACCUUCCCGAGUGUCAUAUUUAGAUAUUGUUCGUUUUUUGUUUUCUAUGAUCGGUCUGAUGUUGUUUGGCAAACGACAAACGCGACGUUUCUGCUUAUACACGUGCAAGUGUUUUCGCUAGGGCUGAAUAUAUUCUAUACGCAACUAAUACAUGCAUUUUUUGUUAUACUAAUGAUAUGUGUUAGGUGUUAUUGUUUGACGCCAAUGUAUUCACUUAGAAAUAUUGUUAUAGAUUAAGAGUCGCAUGUAGGUAACAUGUGUUUAGCAAGACGUGGAUAUUAUUAUAUAUGUAUUAUUAUAAAAUAUUGGAUUUCGUUUUAUGUCGUAUAUAACAGUUUCACGUUAUUUGUGAUAUAUUUGGUAUCUGAUUUAGCAUGCUGAUUUAUAAUUAGUUAGGGUUAUGUGAGCAUUCACGAGCUCUAUAUAUUUGCACGUUUCAUAUUAUGCUUAUAUGGUCUACUAACGUAGGUUGAUAUCCCGGCCGUUUCUCUGAGCAACGCAUAAAUUGGUAGUUCUGUUGUAUUGAGAUAUGUAACAUUAACAAUUCUAAAAUAUUAAAUAUUCGACGGAAUUAGAAUGUUUCUUUUUAAGUUUACUGUUUGUGUAACAAUAUGUUAGAGUUAACAUUUUAGGUAUUGAUAGAUUUGAUCAUAUCUCCUAUUAAUAUAGUGGUAUGUUUGUUAUUAUCCAUAAUAGAAAAUAUUAUUUUCCUUGGUUUUAAGUCGCUCAAUAUUUUACGUAAAAAUAAAGGUCUUAUUGGGUACCCUAAUACCUAGCUUAUAUAUACGUCUAUAAAUAAUACAUGCAUUCUUGUGUUAAUCAUUGCGAACGCUCGUGUUGAAAAGAUGGAGGUAGUCGUUAGUAUUUUUACUUGAUGUUAGUCUGAUAUAGUUUAUUGGUUCUGCGUUAAAUUGGCUUUCUCUUUCCGAAAAUAACAAUCAUGUUGAUUGAUUAUUAAUAUGUGAAUGUUUUGAUCGGACAGGUUAACAAGCAAAACACUAACUCAACCCAUAUUAGCCAGACGGAUGAAUGUAUCGUAGCUAUCCAACAAGCGGCUUCGUGGGUGUUGUCGGUCGAUAGAUUGCGUGGUUUAUUUGUUAUGCUGAUGGAUGUUUUCUGCGAGGCAGAUCCGUUGUCGGUCUGGGAUGCUACCUGGGAUGUAUUGUUUAAAGAUGUGUUGUUUCCACAACAAAUUAUUUUUAACGAUCAUGGUAAAUGUACACCGUUAGUUUUUGCCAAUAUUUACAAAUAUCGUCAGAUGGAUAAUGUUUUAUUAUUUUGUUCUAGAGCCGGAGUAUGCCUACAAUGAAAUCCAAAACUUUGAGACAUUUAUGCGUAAGGAAAACUCUACGUUCAAUGUCUAUGCGGAAUUACGGAAGAGAGUCGCUUUAGCUGGUGGUCCUACAUGUGAUCCUUCGUUGGAAUAUAAGAUGCGUGAUCAGUUUAACAAUCUUAAGAUAGAUUAGAUUGUUUUCAUCGUUUUGAUUUAUUUCUGUUUAUUUUAGGGUUUUAUAAACUAUGUUUCUGCUUGGUUCUCUCUAUACUAUUAUAUUUGUUUCGGCAAAAUAAUAGAAUAUUUUUUUAUAGACGGUGUUUUGAACUAUUACGCUGCAAUGAAGAUUUUAUUUUAUUAUUCCUGUAUUGCGUUCUCUUAACAUUUUUUUUUUUAUUGACGGUGUGUCUUUAUAAUUACGCAAUGAGUUUUAAGCACCAUAAAACGCGAUAGUUAAAACACAUGGUUUCUUCUUCGUUGACCGUCAAACAACUUAUGCUAGAUGAAACAACGUCCUAUAAUGUGAGAUGCAUGAUAGCUGCUGUAUGUUGAGUAGCUUCUUUAAUUUGCUAUAUGGUUUCUUAUGAUUUUAUACAGAUCUCACGGUUAUGUUAUCUAUUCAUUUUAUCGCCAAGUGAUAUUUCAUUUUAUCUCCAAGUGAUAUUUUAUGACCAUAAUUAUGAGGUUUAACAAGCCAUGGAAAAUUAACUUUCUGUCAUUAUAACUUGUAUUUAUGAGUUGAGAUUAAUUUAAAAAGUAAAAUUCGUUGUGCUCGAAUCACAUAUAUGAUUAAUACUAUAUAACAUAUCAUUAAAAUAUAAUAUUUCCAGUUUUCAGUUUACCUUUUAUAUUUAUUUCCGUGAGAUUUUCAUCUUCUCUCAAAGUUAUGUAUGGGUAUUACCAAAUGCGUUUGCUGUUAAAGUAAAUAUUUUAUAAAAUUCCUUCUUUUUUUUGGAUACAAUCAGAAUAAAAAGUAAAAUUUGAAUAUAUCUAGAAAAUAUAUUGAUUAGUAAUAUAUAUCGCAAUAUUAAAAUAUAAUAUUUCUAGUUGUUCUAUUAAAGAAUACCAUAGUAGAUUAUUGUUAUAUAUAAUUUUCCGUUAGUUUCCUCUGUGUUCACGAUCUUCUAGGUUUUGGAGACAAUGAAACGUGGUAGAGGUCAGAAAUAAGAUCGCAAAGCUUGCAUACGUUAUAUAUUUUAUAUUGUCGUAUAACCAUAAUCCUUUUUUAUAAAACAUUCUUGUCUAUCACUCUGAUUUGUUUUCAUUAUGCCCGUCCAAAGGUGAUCAUCGACGUAUACAUCGCCGUGUUUAUAAUAACAACUUCGACUAUUUGCUCGAUGUACCCAAGGAUGGUGCGAAAAAGGCAAGAAAUUAUCGUAUGGAAAAACUCAGAGCACGAAGGACUGCCUUCCGUAAUAGAUUAUCGGGUUAAGUCUAUUAUCUUUAAAAAAUUUAUUAAUUUAAUUAAUAAAAACGCCCACACACGCGUAAUUAAGUUGUAGUGAUAAUAUAUAUUCAUAAUUUCUAGGCAUGGAGUCGAUUAAUCGAACACGUGUUAUCGCGGCAUAUGAAAACAUGAUAUCUGAUGAAUUACGUGCGUUAUUGAAUUCACGACCUCCUAAGGAUGUUUGUUGUCGUGCGAGAGCGCGCCGUGUAGCAAUACUUAAAUUAAGACGGAUAAAAGCGAGGACAAGACCACCAGAAACCGGUACGAUCCUUUUAUAUUAAGUUUUUAUUCUCGAAAUUGUACGUGUGAUUAACAAAUAAAAAAAUGUUAUAUAUAAGGGUUGGUGUUGCCGAUUUACGAAGAUGAUUACGUGCAUUUCCUCGCAACCGAUUCGGAUUCUGAUCAUGGUGAUAGGGAGGACCAAACAGACGACGAUAAUGCAAUGGAUUAUGAUUUUGUUGAACAUCUCGAUAACGCCGAUGAGUGUAUUAUGGAACAGGAAGGGUUUGGAUCCAUACCGAUCAUAAAUGUGAAACCUGGAUUAACAGAAAAUGGUACUUACUAUGGUUGUUUUUUUUAUAAUCUUUUAAAAAAUAUAAUUGAUAUUAUUGUGUACAUGAGUGCUUCUUGUGUCAGGUUAUUUUGAUGAUGGAGAUCCGUUUUACACCUGUCAAAAUUGCGGUGCUUAUAUGUGGUUUGGCGAGCGUAUUAACAAACGUGGAGCUAAAAAUAGGCCUAUAUUUUCUAUGUGUUGCAUGAAGGGUAAAGUGGAGCUGCCUAAACUAAAAAAUCCUCCACCGGUGCUUAUGUCGAUGUUGUAUGGCAAGGAUGAGACAAGCAAAAAUUUCCGUGCUUUAAUUAGAGCAUACAAUAUGAUGUUCUCAUUCACGUCGCUUGGUGGUCAAAUUGAUAAUUCCGUGAACCAUGGGAAUGCACCGUAUGUGUUUCGCAUGCAGGGUCAAAAUUAUCAUCGCAUCGGUGAACUUUUGCCUGGCCCUUCCAAAAGUCCUGCUUUCUCGCAGCUCUAUAUUCAUGAUACCGUAAACGAAGUCUCGAAUAGGAUGGGUGUUAUGGGGUGAGUUGUUUAUUGUAAUAUAUUUUUUAUAUUAUGUCCACGAAUUAAUUUCCGUUUUUUGUUGUUUUUAAUUGUUUUAGCGAGAAAGGACCGGGUAAGCAAAUAAAGAAGAGUAUCGUUAAGACUUUGAAGGAUAUGUUAGAUGCUAACAACCCACACGUCAUCGCGUUUAGAUCAGCUAGAGAUAGAUUAGCACAAUGUGAAGAUACCAGCGGCUUUAAGUUGAUUUUGAAAAAUCAUCGAGAUAGUGACGGUAGAGUCCAAAAUAUACCUACGACUGACGAGGUUGCUGGGCUUAUCGUGGGAGAUAUAAACCCUAAACCGCGUGAUGUAGUGCUUCAGGCUAAUUCUGGAGGGUUUCAGCGUAUAAGUGAGCUGCACCCAUCCUACCUCCCUCUACAGUAUCCUUUGCUUUUUCCUUACGGCGAGGAUGGAUUUAGGUUAGGUAUCGACAUUGGAUUCAUCGAUAAAGGCGGUCUAAAAAGAACAAAAGUGACGAUGAGAGAAUUCUUUGCGUAUCGCAUUCAAUCGAGACGAGGUGAAUCUCCUACUAUUGUUAUGUCCAGGAGAUUAUAUCAGCAGUUCCUGGUUGAUGCGUAUACGAUGAUCGAAAGCAACAGGCUUCGUUAUUUGUUUUUUAACCAGAAAAAUCUCCGCUGUGAAAGCUAUUCGCAGAUUCUUAAAGUUUCUAAGAAAGGAAAUAAAAAUCUUUCCAGAGAAGGUAAUAAAGUUAUGAUACCAUCUUCUUUCACCGGAGGGCCUAGGUACAAGACGCAGCAUUAUCUUGAUGCGAUGGCUACUUGCAAGUAUUAUGGCUUUCCUGAUCUAUUUAUCACUAUAACUUGUAAUCCUGCGUGGCCCGAGAUUACUAGGUAUCUGGAAAAAUACAACUUAAAACCCAAGGAUAGGCCCGACAUCUGUUGUAGGCUUUUUAAGCUGAAACUCGAUAAUCUCAUUCAUGAUCUUACCCAUAAUAAGAAGCUGGGAACUGUCUCUUCUGGUAAGAUUGACCAAACUUUUAUAGCGAUAUUUGUGUCUCGCAUAAAUUAUGUGUUAUUAUUAUAUAUAUAGAAUUUUAGAAUCUUAAAUUUUUAACCUCUUAUUCUGUAAUUUCUUGUAUAUUUUACAGUUUUAUACACGAUUGAGUUCCAGAAAAGGGGUCUACCACACGCACAUAUGGUCCUGUUCCUAGCUCCAGGAUCAAAACUUCCAACUACUGAUGAUAUUGAUAAACAUAUUAGUGCAGAAAUUCCUGAUCCAGAGUUAGAGCCGUUUUUGUAUGAAGUUGUAGCAGAUAUGAUGGUGCAUGGUCCGUGCGGAGUUGUUAAUCCCGGCUGUCCGUGUAUGCAAAAAGGCAGAUGCACCAAAUACUACCCUAGGCCUUACAGUGAUCAGACUAAGGUUGAUGACGAGGGGUAUCCUAUUUAUAGACGGCGAGCGGAUGGCAAAUUCAUCGUGAAGCAAAAAUUUAAUGUCGAUAAUAGGUACAUCGUUCCAUAUAACGCUUAUUUAUCGAAAAGGUAUCGUGCUCAUAUUAAUGUCGAGUGGUGCAAUCAUUACGAUCUAUCAAAUAUCUCUUCAAGUAUAUCCACAAAGGACCCGAUUAUAUCAGAGCAAAAAUACAAAAGGACGGUCAAGAAGAGGAAGUCCAUGACGAAAUAAAACAGUAUUAUACAUGCAGGUGCCAAAUGAGACUAAUUGUUUAUAAAAUGUUAUGUUAUCGUCUUAGACUAAAUACUGUUGUUGGGAGUUUUGAAAUUAUUGCCUCAUUCUCAUUAUUUUUUAUGUCGUUUCGUUUAUAGGUAUAUAUCUGCAUGCGAGGCCACUUGGAGAAUAUUAGCUUUUGCUACACAUUACCGGUCUACACCAGUAGAAAAACUUACAUUUCAUCUUCCUGGUGAAGAGGUCAUUGUUUUCGAUCCGAAUGAUCCUGUUGAUGAGGUUAUAAGUCGUAAAUCUAUCGGCCGUACAAUGUUCUUGGCUUGGAUGGAAUGUAACAAAGCGUAUCCAGAAGCCAGAGAAUUGACAUAUGCGGAUUUUCCAUCUAAGUUUGUUUGGAAAAGCAGAGAGCGUGUCUGGAAACCCCGAGUAAAAGGAUUCUCGAUAGGAAGGAUUAUGUAUGUUUCUCCUUCCCUUGGAGCCAAGUAUUAUCUAAGGCUCCUGUUAAAUUCUGUGACAGGUCCUACAUCUUACGAUGACAUCAAAACGGUAAAUGGCAUUAUAUAUCCUGAGUUUGUUGAUGCUUGCAAUGCACUGGGGUUGCUCGCAGACGACCGAAUAUUUAUAGAUGCUAUAAAAGAAGCGAGUUAUUUCGUGAAAGGUUUACCCUUGCGAAAAUUAUUUGUGAUGAUGAUCGUCGCCGGAGAUAUAGUAAAUCCUUUGCGAGUUUGGGAGGAGACUUGUGAUCUACUGUCGGAAGGUAUCUUAUUCGAACGUAGAAAAGUGUCGAGGAAUCCGGGUAGGUGGAUCAUUUCUAUUGUUUAUGAAAUAUAUAUAGCUGUCUUAUUAAUUGAAUAGUAAUAAUAACAUGUUUCGUGUGGUUUGCAGCUUUGACGCUUUCUGAUAAACAAAUAAAAAAUUUCACGUUGGCGUCUAUUGAACUCUUGCUGCGGGAUAACGGGAAGACUCUGUCUACUAUCGAAGGAUUUCCGCAGCCGGAUGAUAUAUCUCUUGAUACGAGUACAAAUCGGCUGUUGUUGGAUGAGCUUGGUUAUAACCACGAAAAAGAAGCGAAAGAACACGUGAGACUCCUAGCCACGAUAACGGAUGAACAAAAAGUAGUUUACGAUGAAGUGAUGAAGGCAGUUUUAGAUAAAAAAGGCGGUGUCUUUUUUCUAUAUGGAUACGGGGGCACAGGCAAAACGUACGUCUGGAGUAUUUUAUCGGCUGCUAUAAGGUCUAUGGGACUUAUUGUUCUUAAUGUAGCAUCGAGCGGGAUAGCCUCUUUGCUGAUGCCUGGAGGUAGAACUGCACAUUCAAGAUUUUCGAUACCUCUAACGGCUGAUGAAUUUAGUAUGUGUGCGAUGAAACCAUCAUCCCAUCUCGGUGAGUUGGUAAAACAGGCUAGCUUAAUUGUAUGGGAUGAGGCUCCUAUGAUGAGCAGACAUUGUUUUGAGACGUUGGAUCGUAGUAUUCGGGAUGUUAUGAGAUGUAAUACUGAUCGGCCGUUCGGCGGUAAAACAAUUGUCUUUGGAGGAGAUUUUAGACAAAUAUUGCCAGUAAUCAGUGGUGCAGGUAGAGAGGAAACCGUUUUGGCCACUAUUAAUUCGUCGUAUAUCUGGGAAAGUUGCAGGCUGUUGAGGCUAACCAAGAACAUGAGACUUUUAGAUGGUAAUUCGGAUGAUGCUGCACAGGAACUCAGAGAUUUUGCAAAAUGGAUUCUUGACAUAGGAGAUGGUACGAUCAACGUUACAGACGAUGGCGAUGCUGAUGUGGAGAUUCCUGAUGAUUUGCUGAUUUCUAAAUGUGGUGAUCCUAUCAAAGCCAUCGUACAUAAUGUUUAUGGGUCAACGUUGGUCAAGGAUAAGGAACUUUCUUUUUUCCAAGAAAGGGCUAUUCUUACUCCGAGAAAUAAUGACGUGUGCGUGAUCAACGACUAUGCGCUAUCACACAUGGAAGGUAGAAAAUUAAUGUUAAAACUUUUAUAUAUUGAUUUAGAGUAUGUUUACUGUUGUUUAUUAUUUUAGUUUGAUAGUGGAUUUAAUGUUGUUUAUUAUUUUAAUUUUCAUUCAUGUUGACGCCCCGGGGUUGUUAGGUGAAGAGAGAGUCUAUCUUAGUUGCGAUAGUAUUGAAUUAUCGGAUGCGGACAAAAGAGAUAAUAUGGUUUAUACACCCGAGUUUUUAAACAGCAUCAAAGUCUCGGGGUUGCCAAAUCACAGGCUGGUAUUGAAAGUCGGAGUUCCAAUCAUGGUUCUACGGAAUAUUGAUCCUAAGAAUGGACUUUGUAAUGGUACAAGAUUACAAGUGACUCAGUUAGCGAAUCAGGUUAUAGAAGCUAGAAUUAUUACUGGUACGAGAGUUGGAGACAUAGUUGUGAUUCCUAAAAUGUACUUGAGUCCCACCGAGACGAGGUUCCCAUUUAGAAUGAAACGUUGUCAGUUCCCGAUUGCGGUUGCUUUCGCAAUGACGAUUAAUAAAAGUCAAGGUCAGACUUUGACUAAUGUAGGUUUGUAUCUACCUAAGCCUGUCUUUUCGCACGGGCAAUUGUACGUUGCACUUUCGAGAGUCACAUCCAGGAGAGGCCUCAAGAUACUGAUAACAGAUGAUAGGGGACAGCCUCAAAAGACUACUAAAAAUGUUGUUUAUCACGAAGUAUUCCAGAACAUUCGUUAGUUUGAUUCUAGGAUUUUUCUCUCCUUUUACUACCUGUUUUGGGCUUUCAGCUUACGACAAUUUUUUUGUUUUAAUUAUAUUUUUUAUAAUACAUUUUGGGUUUUAAAUAAAAGGAAAUUCCAUCGGAUAUUGCCAUCUUUAAAUAAAAAUGCUAAGAAAAUAAAAUGGAAAAUGUCACGCAAAAUGUUAUUAAACAAAAAAAGGGUUGCGACGGUACGUGUCUUGACAAAGGAAGGAAAAUCGAACAUAAAAACAAAAGGGCUGCGACGUUUCAUUGUCUAGGUUAGUUCCCUAUAUAUACUUAGUUGUUAAGCGUUCUUGUGGGCAGACCAUUAUCUUACGCCGCAUAACGAAUUUUCGCAUAGGAGCAGAUAUGUCUUCUCGGUUCACAUCGUCUUCUAUUGAACGUUACAACGAUUUCUCUCGGUUGAACCCUGCAAUUGUUGGAUGGCAUGUUCACGUUAAGGUUUUGCGUCGCUUCCACACCGAUGACUAUAUAUCGAAGGGUGGGCUAGGGUUACUUCUGGUUGAUGAUAAGGUAUUGGUUCGAAAUAAGAUUUGGCUUUUCUUUAGAUAUGUAUUAGCCUUUGUUGUUAUGGAUGUUUGCGGUUUCCCGACUUUUGUGAUUUUGGUUUUGUGAUGCAGGGUAAUCAGAUCGAAGCGCUUAUUUGUUCGCCGUUGACUUUUCAUUAUUCAACGUUUAUUGAAGAAGAUGAAUUCUACGCUAUUAUGAAUUUCAGAGUUGUGGAGAAUUCGGGAUUCACUAAACUAACAAGGAGUGACUUUAAGAUAAUGUUUUAUGAUGGUACUAUCGUUAAAGAAGCGUCUUCGUUUUCUCAAGAUGACUAUAUUGUCGCUACACCUUUUGGUGCUAUUUUCAAUGGAUAUCAUGAUACUUCUUAUCUCAUAAGUAAGUUUUGUUUGUUAUGCUUUACAGAACGUUCAGCGGUUUUAGUUAUUUAUUUUCCUUAUGUAGAAAUCUUGAUAUUUGCUUGUAGCUUUGAUUGGGCGGGUCGUCGAGUCGAGUGAUCUUACGAACGUGACCGAUGAACCAUCUGUCAUAGGGGGAUACAGAUACUCAUUCACCAUUGAAGAUCAAGAGUACGAUUUCUUUCAUCGUUGGUUAUUUGAAAUUACAAUAUAAUAUAUUUAUUGAAAUCAUGAUAUAAUAUGUUUAUCGAUUCACAUACAUUUUUAUUUUGAUUAAUAAAUAGGAAGAAGACCCUCAAGUGUUGUGCAUAUGGAGGAGUGGCGAUAGAGUGCCAUGAUCGGUUUAGAAAUGUGAUUGGUACGGAUGUUACGUGUGUUCUUCGCUGGUGGAAAGUUUAUCAACUCCUUGAUGGAUGGAGGCACGUUCGUAUCUACAGCCAUCCCCCCUACUCGAAGAUUCUGGUCCAGAGCGAUGCCGAUAACGUCGAGCACUCUUGAUAAAUUAGUAUUUAUCAUAUUUAAUAUGUGCUUUAUUUGUUUCCUUAGAUUAUGCAAUGUUGCGUUUGGUUUUAAAUUAUGACAUAUUACUUAUUUUUUAUUAUUAUUAAUAGAAACUAUCUUAUUAUGAAAGAUGCACUUUGUUAUGUACCGAUACAGUGAUAUCUUUGGUAAAUAUUCACUUCUUAUACUUUAUGCAAAAAAUCCCCCCCCAAAAAUAGUAAAUAUGUUAGAUUUAGCUAAAAUUGAAAAAUCUGCAAAAUAUUUUCGAAUCUCUGUUUAAGACUUAUUACUUUUUUAUACUUCUGAUAAUUCCGAAUCUAAUGUUAAAUAAUUGGAAAAUCCGGAUCUAUAUAUAUAUAUAUAUCGAUUUAUACUUGGCUUCGGUGUUUAUAACCACCAGGAUCGAUGGAAUCGUUUAGAUGUCAUGGGUGGCCUUUUGACGUUAUGACCUAUAACAGAAAUAUGUUCACUAUAUCAUCUCUGAAUCCGUUGAUCCAUGAAUGGAGUACUUGUGUUAAGAUUUUGCAUGUUUGGCACGAACUCGACGAUGUUAGUAAUGCACUAAACCUUAUUUUGAUGGAUAAUCAGGUUGGUAAUUCUUCAAAAUAAACUGUAAUCGGUAUUUGUGUUAAGAUUUUGUAUUGAGAUGUUUUAAUGUUUUGUAAUUAAAUCAGGGUACGAAAAUCCGAGCCGUCAUUCGCGAAAGUUUGGUAACUAGGUUUUCGCCAUUACUGAUUGAGGGUCUCUGGAUGAUAUUAAGAAAAUUUUCGUUAAUCCCUGAUGUCGACUUAGUCAGAACUACUCCACAUAGAUUCAAGAUUCAGUUCUCUCCUGAUACAUGUGUCGACUAUCUUAAUUACCUCGCAUGUGAUUAUGAUUUCUUUAACUUUGCGAGAUUUCGUGAUAUUCGUACGGGUAUAAGUAACCCGUAUAUCUGUGUAGGUGGGAUUAUAUUCGUUUCUCUUCUGGUUAGAUUUUUCCCAUAACUACUCUAAUCAUUACGUUGUAUUGUUUUCUUUAGAUUUGGUCGGGGUUGAUAAUGUGAAUGACAUACAACUCGUGCAGAUGGUGGGCUCUUCGAAAGAUAUUUCUGUGGUUUAUUUUGACCUAAUUGAUACAGAGUAUUGAUUCUUAGUCUUAUACAGAUAUAUAAUUUUGUUUUCUCUCAACGAAUUUGUCAUAAUAAUGUCAACUUUGGUAUAAAUUUGUAGGCAUACGCGUUUGAGUAUCAGACUGACCGGUGAAACCGCCGUUAGAUUUCAUAGACAGUGGAAAGUUAACACCGACGAUGUCGUGAUUUGUAACAUCAGAUUUGCCAAGAUAGUGGCUACGUCUAAUCGUAUGUGGCAUUGCACAAACAUUGGUUGCUCUAAAAUUAUGGUGGAUGCUCCGCUGCCUGGUGUUGUAGAACUAAAAGAAUGUGGGCUGAUUACUGCGGGAGUCCUAGGACGGGGGUCAAAGAAGCUCGAUUGGCCUAAUUUUGUAUGAUUCUGUAUUUUUCGUUUGGGUGGUUUAUUUUCAGUUUACUGAUUACAGAGUCGGCAUUUGUAAUCGGUUUUAACAUUUCGAAAGAUUGUUAGACAUUUCGCUUUUAGUGAGUUUUGGUAAUUUAAUCUAAACUUAAUUUAUUAAUCUUAUGGAUAAAUUCUAUAUCGUUUAAUCAAUAUUCGGUUUUGUUAAUUUUCUGAUUUAGUUUUUAAUAUAAGAAUUUUCCAUUUUGUAUUUCGGACCGUUAGAUCGAGCUAAAAACAACCAGAUAAAAACUACAACCAUCCGAUCUUAACUUUGACACUUACCUCUGCCUUCCCUAUUAUAAUAAUCAACUUUAUUUACGAGCGUCAAAUUAACAUCUUAUUAGACGCGAGUAAUAUUGGCCGUCCGAUCAACACGUGUCUAUAAAAAACAUGGGCCAGUCCAUUAAUCUCUUUGAAAUCAUGGUCCAUUCGUUUAUAUAGUCGGGCUUUGGGAUCAAUUAGUUCGGGCUUUGAUACAUUUGAUCCCCGUCGCCGUCCGAUUGAGAUCUCCUCUCAUUCUCUACCGUCUGAUUUGGUUACUAACAUGGUCAAACCUUAUUAAAGAAUGUACUACUUUCCAAAAUACAAAAUAAGAUAAUAAGUAUAUUUCUAUAUUUAUAUAAAAUAGUAUGUAGAUCCAUAGUAUAAAAUCGUAAAUUUUCUUCUUACAAAUGUAUAUAUAUAGUGUUAUUUCGUUUUUGUAUUAGCGAUGAUAUCGUAUAAUAUCGUUGUUAGACGUAUCCAUUUAGGUAUAUUUAACUUAUAUUAUGCGAUAAAUACAGAAAUAUUCCAAACAAUUUUGAUUUGUAAUUGUCUAGAUAAUGGCAGAUCUCUAUAUUUUUCUUAAACCAUAACAAACUGUACAACAUGCUCUUCUUCUAUAAAUACUGAUUGUGUCAUGGUCGAAAAUUGUAGACAUUCGUUUAUAGUUGUUGUAAAAGUUCUACAAUGAAAUAUACGGUUAUAAUUUAUGCUCUGUUUACUGUGUAGUAUUGUUUCUGUGUGAUUUGUUUUUUAUUGUUCGUAUGAUUGGUAUCUAAUAUGGUUAAUUUAAUUACUGGAAUAGGGAUCCGGAUACGGUGAUGGGGUCCUUUCUCAAUUUCUGGUACGUAUUGAUUGUUUAAAACUAACUGUUUCUUAUGAGUUUAUAUACUAAUUAUUAUUUCUUAUCUAACAUUAAUUGAUAAUUGUAUUAUUAUCUUAUUUACAAGGAUGUUACAUCCGAUUCUUCGUGUAUCUCUGACGUCGAGGUAUAUAUUCCUUUGAUCAUGUGUGUUAGUUUUUUCUUUUUGUUUAUUCUUUUAAUCUUUUAAAUCUAACUUUUAUAUUUGACGUUUAUACACAGGAAAACGUCAAAGAGGUAGGCUACAAACAUGUUUGUUUCGUCUCCAUGUUGAUAGCGAAUUCGUAUUCUCAUACAAAUAGUUUUAAUACAUUGUUUCUUUCUUAUGUAGUAUCUCGAUGAUGUGUCUGCUGCAGUUGAUCUUUCUUCUGUCCUGGUAAAUAUCUGACACGGUCGUUAAUUAGUAACGUUUUUAUCGUCUCUAUAUAUUGAUGUUAACAACACAAUGUUGAAUUUUAUAUUUAUUUGAAUUCCUAGCAUGUCGAGGCCAGUGCUGCAGUUCUAUCGUUAGAUGAGGUAAUUAUUGAAUUACUUGGUUACUAUGUAGUUGUAUAUUAUUAAUAUAUAAUGUAUGAUUCAACUACUUUAUCUUUAUCUAACGCUAUACUGUUUGUAAAUAACAAGUUCAAGGAUGUGCUUUCGGAUCUAGGUGCAUUGUCGGCCGAUAAAGAUUACGUUUUGGCUGUACUUUACCUGGUAUAUUAUUAUUGGGUUUUUAUUUAUAAUAUUACGCAUUUUAUUCCUAUUUAUACUCUAUAUAUAUUGACAAAUUAUAAUCCGUAAAUAUUGACAAAUAUACUAUAGGAAUCUCGGACACAGUUGAAGUCUCUAUACUUGAGAUAUCUUUUGUCCAGAUAUCUACAGGUUGGUAUAUGUUGUCAAUUUUUAUAUUCGAUAUGUAUGUUUCGAAGCUUAAACAGAAAAAUAAAAAGAAAAAAACUUAUAUCUUCGUUGAUUUGUAUAGGAGGCAAAAUCAUUGGACCCUCUGAUGCAGACUAAAAAGGUUAAUUGGUAACUCUAUAUAGUGUGCAGUUUGAUUUAUUAUUUGGUAACAUUCGUUCCGAUUUACGUGUUUGAUAAAUGUUGGUAAUAUAAGUUAUAUUGCUUAUACUUUAUUUUGUAUAUCUUCCAGAAUUAUGCUGACUUGCGCAUGAAGUAUUUUGGUGAUGGGGUGAGAUAAUUUAUAUCUAUCUUACUAAUAGUUGAUGUACAUAUAUUAUAUAUAUAGUCAGUUUGUAUUCAUGUAAUAAGAUACUAAUGUGUUGUCUAUUAUUAUCUUGAAGCGUUUUGUUGCUGCUGGUAUGAAGCCAUACCCGUCUGACGGUCUUGAGUGUGAUGAGAUUUUAAUGAAUACCAAUGAAGAUACUCUUGAGUGUAUUAAUGAUAUUGUCAUCAGUAGUUGGCGUUUAUGCCCGGCGUAUCUACGCCUUCGUUUUGUUGAAUCGUUGAUACUCUAUAAAAGCAUUAAUGUCCACACGGUAUGGGACGCUUGCUAUCGAGUUUUGAGUGGUGAUGUGUUGGCUGAACAGAAAAUCGCGCGUAAUAAUCCUGGUAUUAAUCUAUCAUCAAUACUAAAUACUUAUAGAUGUUGUUUGACUUGAUAGUUGUGUCUCAAAAAGGUGUUGCUUUUUAUUACACUAGGGUUGGAGUUAUCCGAUGUGCAAUUAGAGUGGUAUGGUUUUCGUGUUAUGCGUAAGGUGAUGGGUGAUCUUGGAUUCCAUCAUGCCGGUUUUGAAGGUGUGCGUCUUGGUAUAGUUCGCCGACUCUUAACUUACAAAUGUGAUGACAUGUCAAUGUGAUAUUGGCCUAGAUUUGUUAUCGUUGUCUUGGUUUUGCUUUAUCGGUGUUAUAGUUUCGGUAUUGGUUUAUUAUUCCACCUAAUACUAUCAAUAUAAUAGUGUCUUGGUGUUAUUUAUUUUAUCAUUUUAUCGUUAUGGGAAUUAUUAACCUUUCUGAUUUAUUAUUUAUGAAUUUGUUAUUUUAAUUGGGUUUGUUCUUUCUUGUGUAUUUAAUAUGAUUAUCGACUAUAUCAUGUUCGUAAUGCGAAUUAUAUACGAAGUACCGCGUAAUCCAUAAUUUUUAACUACAUGUAUUUGUUGCUGUAUCACUUUUUCUAAGAUAUUCAUUUAUAACUUUUUCUAGAAUAUUUCUGUUUAUGCGUAAUUUUCUUUGAUAGUUGAACAAUAAUGCGUCUGUGUUUGCUAUCAUUGUUACAAAGACUUAGAACUUCCGACGACUGUUAUCAUGUUUCUCGACACAUAGACGAUGCGUGUAGGUUAUCAUCGCUUAUCUCUUCUGUAAUUUUUUUUAUUAUGUUCGUAUCCGGUAAAAAUUGAAUGGGAUUAACUGUACUGUUUUGUAGUAAUAACUAGAAAAUAACCAGUUGCGAUUUGACGUCGUCUGUACCGUAUUUUAUAGUUCGAUAUAUCUACUUGCUUUUAGAUAUUCCGUUUCAUUUUAAUAUAUACUCUCUCCUCUGUUUUAUUAUUAUUAUUCACGCUAUUAUAUAUAAGCAAACCAAACAAAAAGAACAAAAAAAAAAAAAAAAAAAAAAACAACUACUACAUCAACACGCCCGAAAAGAAAGAAAAAAAUAUUAUUUUAUCGCGAUUGUUAUGGAAAUCGCGUGUAAUAAUAAACAAAAUCUCUACAAUUAGGGAUACUGUUAUGAUAUGCAUCGAUUGUGAUAAAUACUAAAUUGACACUUUUAAUAGUUACAAUUUUAUUUAUAUAGUAUAGUUUCUGGAUAUGCGUUAUAGUUCUAUAUAUAUUUCGCUUUAGUGAGUUUUUGUAAUUUAGUCUGAAAGAUGUUAUAUGAUAUUAGUUAAAAACUCUGUUGAGGUGACAUACAUGAUACAUAACUUGUCAUUGGUUAUAGUUUUUUUGUAUUACUCAUUCAAAAAAGUUGUUUCUCAAAAUGCAUCGUGUGGUUUUGGUUUCCGUCGUUAGGUAAAAUGGAACUUUAUUUGCGUCCCUAAUAACUUACACCAUUUGUAUAUAUUAUUAUUAUGGUGUUGAUAAUGGGGUUAUUACGAGAAUGAGCAUUUAUUAGGUCAAAAGUUUGAUUUUAGGUUUUUCUAUCCCGACUUGCAUAUUUAGGUAUUUUUGGAUUUAGUUAAAUGACAUUUUUGCCCCUACUGAAUUAAAUGGAAUUUUGGAAAAAUUUAAAAAUUUGACAAUUCUUCUCCGGUGGAAUUAAGAAGAAAAGCGUCUUGGACACCUACAGUCGCUGGGCUGAGCUACCGGAGAAUCCGCCUCCAACCGCCGCAUGCUUCCUCCUUCCAGAUCUAUCCCACCGUCUCGCUAUUUACCCUAUGGCAACUUCGAUUUUUACUUUCACGACACACAGUCCACCGCCCGUCGAUGUGGAGUGGAAGCCAUUGGGUUUGCGGAGGUCUUGGGUUGCUCACUUGUGGCGGAUCUGUUGCCGCUUGAAGACGACGGCACGAUCUGCUCUCCGAUUCGCCGCCAACAUCAUCUCCGAUCCGAAACACAAAACCUCUCCUCCGCCAACACCAUCUCCAAUGAGUUGGAUUCAACUAAUUCUUUUUGAAUAACAAAAAAUAAACCCUAAGGGGAUAGUAUCCUCUAAACCCAAGGGCUCCAAUUGAAAUAAUUGUCAAAAUUAGGAUCUGGGUUUCCAUAAUCUUCAUGUUGGUAAGUGAAGGAGAAAGCUUAAAGUUUUUGUCGUUCACAAAAAAAAAAACAAUUAUUUUUGCUUCAAUUGGUGACAAGGGUAAAAACGACUUUUCCGAUGUUUGAGGAAUGCUUAAAACAGAAGUAUGGGCAAAUAAACCCAAACUGAUAAGUUUGACUGAAAAAAGUACCGAUCCGGUAAUUAACUCUGUUGAUAAUAGAGUGAUAUUUUUUACCCUUAAGUUUCGUUAGUAUAUAUUUCAGUUUAACUGUUGAGAUUUGGUUUCUUUUUUAAAAACUUAAUUUAUUAAUUUUAUGGAUAAAUUCUAUAUCGUUUAAUCAAUAGUCGUUUUUGUUAAUUUUCUGAUUUAGUUUUUAAUAUAUAUUUUCCAUUUUUAUGUUCUUUCCAAAUAAUCGUUAGGUCUACAUAUAUGUAUCCCGCAUUUAUACCUCAUUGGAAUAUUUACCCGCGUAAUCUUUUGUUAUGGGUUCUACAAUGAUACCUUUUACAUCUGAUUCAUGUGAUGGUGGUUAUUUUCGUAUUGCGUCUCUUAACCCUAACAUAGGUGAGUGGUCUGUCUCGGUGAAGAUUUUGAAUUGUUGGUCUGUUUCGCGUGGCACGGGUAGAGAGCUCAAUAUGAUUUUGGGUGACGAGCAUGUUAGUUUUUUGAUAACUUACCUGCUAUACAUGUUUUCGAUAUUAAAUUGAAUUGGUUUUGUCUUUGACAUUUUAUUUGCAGUUCACACAAAUCCAAGCCGUUGUUCGUGAUGAAUUAAUUGAUAAUUAUCUUUCAAGAUUGAUAAUCGAUGAGUGGGUGAGCAUUAAAAAUUUUGAUGUAUCACGGGUUAACAGCAUAUUGAGACCAGUACCGCAUAGAUUCAAGAUUGUGUUUCGUUCGGACACUUUAGUGCAAAGUAUUAAUAUGUGCUCCAGUAGGACCUAUUUCAAUCUAACUGAGUUUGUGAGUAUAUUGAGUGGUAUUGUUAAUCCGAAUAUUUGCGUUGGUAAGCCUAAUUUAUAAAUUUAUUUGUGCUUUUGGAGUUUAUUUGCGGUUCAUGUUCUGACUGUAUUAUUCAUGUGUGUGUUUCAUAGAUGUUGUUGGCAAAAUUGUCAACGUGAGAGAGUUGGUUUUUGUUCCUUCCGUGGAACAUUCUCAAGGAGGAUAUUUUGAGCUGUACUUUGGUUUACGUGAUACUGAGUAAGUCACUAUUCUUUUAAAGAUUUAAACCAGAAUAUAAUGUCUUAUGACUUCUUCAAAUCUUAAAAUUAGGUGUAUCCAUCUAGAGUGUCGUUUAACGGGUGACCUUGCAGUCGAGUUCUAUGACUUAUGGAAGCAUCGUUCACGUAACACAGUGAUAUGUAUUAUCAAGUUUGUGAAAUUAGAACUAUCACAGGAACAUAGGUGGAGAUGUACCAAUGUUACCGGAAGUACGAGGAUUAUGUUGAAUCUGGAUCUCAGUAUUACCGACGAGAUGCUUUGUUGGUAAGUAUUUUUUUUUCCGUUUACAAUCAAAACUCUAAAGUUGGCGACUGGACAUUCACUGUUUAUGGUGUUCUUAAUCGGAUGUCAGGAAUCCUGAAAAUGACCAAGUACCAAUCAUCACACGGAAGGAGAAUGCCAUGGAGUGAUGAUGUUCGUUGAUUUCUUAUUUUGUUGGUAAAUGAUUUUAAAAGAUGAUUUAUUAUUAUUUUUUAGCAUUUAUAAUAUUAUUGAAUUUUUUAAAUUUCAUCAUUUUCCAUAAUUUUACCACACUAAAUCCUAAACAAUUUACCAUUUUUUUCUUACACUACCAAGUAACACCUAAACAAUCCCUUAUUUCACAUGAUUUUACCAUUUAUACAACAUUCUUCCCGCGCAUGCGCGCGGGCAAUCACCUAGUUAAAUCAUAUUUAUGUAGAAAGAAUCUCACUUUGAUAGUCAAUCACUUUGUGCGCGAAGAAAUUUGACGAAAAGGGUUACAAAAAAAUGGAUUUUUGACGGUUUUUUUUUUUUUUUUGGUAGGAAUGGAUUUUUGACGAUUGAUUAUAAACGUUUAAUUUUUUAGUAAUAUUUUUGAGUUCUCACUUCUUCUUCUUCUUCUUCUUCUUCUUCUUCUUCUUCUUCUUCUCGUAAAACCCUAAUUCUUGAUUUGGCUAUGGAGUCCGUCGAAUUGAACAAUCCCAACCCCAAUUCGCAAACCCUACAUCAACCUCCUCCUUCCUCCAACGGAGACACUGCUCCACUCGCAUCGGAUCAUAUGAAUCCUCAGAAUUCGGAUUCUGUGGCUUUAAACGGUUCGUCUACUCCUACACCCGAUACUAAUGGUUCAUCAGCAAAGCCUGAGUUCUUGCGUCCUUUGCUAUCGGAGAACGAUAAGGAUCAGUCUGGUGGAGAGGAAGAAACUACGAGCAGGAGGAAGCGUCGGAGCCGGUGGGAUCCUCCGCCUUCUGAAGGGGGUACUGAUUCCGAACCUGGAAUUAGGAAGCGUAAGUCGCGAUGGGCAGAUGAUGAGCCCAAGCCGCAGAUUCAGUUACCUGAUUUCAUGAAGGAUUUCACCGGAGGUAUUGAGUUCGAUCCUGAGAUUCAGGCUUUGAAUAGUAGGUUACUUGAGAUUAGUAGGAUGUUGCAGUCUGGUAUGCCUUUGGAUGAUAGACCGGAAGGACAGAGGUCUCCUUCACCAGAGCCUGUGUAUGAUAAUAUGGGAAUUAGGAUUAACACUAGAGAGUAUAGAGCAAGGGAGAGAUUGAAUAGAGAAAGACAAGAAAUCAUUGCUCAGAUUAUCAAAAAGAAUCCGGCUUUUAAACCUCCAGCAGAUUAUAGGCCUCCUAAGCUCCACAAGAAGCUUUUCAUUCCAAUGAAGGAGUUUCCUGGUUACAAUUUUAUUGGUCUCAUUAUUGGCCCCAGAGGUAAUACUCAGAAGAGAAUGGAGAGGGAGACGGGUGCUAAAAUUGUUAUUCGGGGUAAAGGAUCUGUAAAAGAAGGUAGGCAUCAGCAGAAAAAGGAUUUGAAAUAUGACCCUGCUGAGAAUGAAGACUUGCAUGUUUUAGUUGAGGCUGAGACUCAGGAUGCUCUUGAAGCUGCUGCUGGUAUGGUUGAGAAGCUUUUGCAACCUGUUGAUGAAGUGUUGAACGAGCACAAGAGGCAACAGCUCAGGGAACUUGCUACCUUGAAUGGAACAAUAAGGGAUGAAGAAUUCUGUAGACUGUGUGGUGAGCCAGGACAUAGACAGUAUGCAUGUCCUUCUCGUACCAAUACCUUUAAGAGUGAUGUUCUUUGCAAGAUUUGUGGUGAUGGUGGACACCCUACUAUUGAUUGCCCGGUGAAGGGUACUACUGGGAAGAAAAUGGAUGAUGAAUAUCAGAACUUCUUAGCAGAGUUGGGAGGAACUGUACCUGAAUCUUCUCUCAAACAGAGUGCUACCCUGGCUCUUGGUCCGGGAAGUAAUCCUCCAUGGGCUAAUAAUGCAGGGAAUGGUGCAAGUGCGCAUCCUGGCUUAGGGUCAACUCCGACCAAACCCCCCUCCAAAGAAUAUGACGAAACAAAUCUGUACAUUGGGUUCUUACCUCCGAUGCUUGAGGACGAUGGUUUGAUUAAUCUUUUUUCAUCCUUCGGUGAAAUUGUGAUGGCAAAGGUAAUCAAGGACCGUGUGACUGGGCUGAGCAAAGGCUAUGGUUUUGUGAAGUACGCUGAUGUGCAGAUGGCUAAUACUGCUGUUCAGGCAAUGAAUGGCUAUCGGUUCGAAGGCCGAACACUCGCUGUCAGGAUUGCAGGCAAAUUGCCACCGCCUACUGCACCUCCAGGACCUCCAGCACCAACUCAAGGUUAUCCUCCCUCAAACCAGCCUCCUGGUGCCUAUCCUUCUCAACAGUAUGCAACUGGUGGUCAACUGCCAAAUCCUCCUGUAGGUUAUUCGACAGCUCCAGUUCCUUGGGGUCCUCCUGUUCCCUCCUAUUCUCCAUAUGCUCCUCCCCCUCCACCUCCUGGUUCUUACCAUCCUGUCCAUGGUCAACAUAUGUCUCCUUAUGGAAUGCAAUACCCACCACCACCACCUCAUGUGACACAAGCACCUCCACCUGGCACUACUCAAAACCCAUCUUCUAGUGAACCCCAGCAAAGCUUCCCACCAGGAGUACAAGCUGACAGUGGUGCUGCUACGUCUGUACCACCAAAUGUCUAUGGUAGCUCAGUCACGGCUAUGCCUGGACAGCCUCCAUAUAUGAGUUAUACGUCUUACUACAAUGCUGUUCCCCCUCCACCACCUCCAGCACCGGCCUCGUCUACUGAUCAUUCCCAAAACAUGGGUAACAUGCCAUGGGCCAACAAUCCUCCUGUCUCAACACCUGAGCACUCACAAGGUCUUGGUAAUGCAUCUUGGGCACCUAAUCCUCCUAUGCCGCCCACUGUUGGUUAUUCACAGAGCAUGGGGAACGUACCCUGGGCUCCCAAACCUCCAGUACAGCCCCCUGCAGAGAAUCCAUCCACUGUUGGAGAUUCUGAGUAUGAGAAGUUCAUGGCUGAGAUGAAGUAGCAUGUGUGUUCUGAUGAGAAACUCCGUAGUGAAGAGGUAAAAUGUCCUCAUUUGAUGUUAUUGUUUGUUCUCCAUACAGGUUUUGAAAUUAAAAUUUGAAAUCGAAUCAAGUGGCUUUCAACAUAGGAUAAAACUUUACUUUCAAAAACCCAGUUAAGAAAGGAAAGAUAUAGCUAUCAAGCUGAAACUUGAACAGGAAUUUCCCUCAACUUUUCCAACGUUUUCAAAUUGCUUUUUUCUUUUAACAUCAUUUUUGCAACAUCAUCAGUUGCAGGAUGAACCAUUUUGUCCAUUAUUUUGUUCUUGAAAGCCUUCCUGCUUAUGUAAUUUAUCUGUUCCUAGUUUUAUCACAUGAUAACUAACUGCUCUAGCUCAUAAUUUGGUCACUGAUGUGUUUGUGAGCAUGCCACAGCUAAAGGAGUCCUGGUAUUCGAUUCUGAAACAUAGAAUCUGGGAGUUGGAUGUUCGAAUUUUGUCAGUUACCCUUUUUGCUCUAUGUUUUGUUCAGUAAACUACUAAUGUGUUUUCUGUCCCACAUGGAAAGCAUUUGUUUUCACUUCUAAGUUUUUCCAUCUGACAACAUCAAAACUGCCACUAGCAUAGAUUCCAAAAGUUUGUUAUUAUAUACGGCUCAUUAACACGAAUUUUUGUUUUGUUGAUAUUGUUAAUUUUUUCAGGUGUGAUGUUUCUUGGAGGUCUUGUACCCUGAUUUCUUACAUCUUUCUUGUUGGAAGUUUGGGACUCACAUCUUAACCCUUGCUAUGCUGUUGUGAAAUAUGCAGAGAUACAGGCUGGAAGCUCCCGGUUCAGACAAUCAGAAAGGCCAUAAGAAUUUUAUUAACGUUACUGAUAAUAUUGCUGCUCUUUUGUAGGACUAUAUUUAUGUCUGGGGUUCUUGUUUCAUUUCAUAAUACUCAUAUUUACCGUUGAUCAGUGUGUUAAGUCUAGUCUGCUUCAGCUCUCACAAUUUUUUAUGUACUGUUUCAAUUUGGGAGUAAAAAACUUUUGGUGGUAUUGUAGUGCGAAAAAUAUCCGUUAUUCUUUGUGAUGCAAGAUAUGAUCCUCUUACUCUUGAGGUCAUCUCUUUCGUUUAUCUUGUCUCUUGUGUGCAUAGGGAAUUCAUCAGUUCUCGCAGGAACCUGAAGGCAACAGGGGUAUGUUGAACUACAUUGGACAUAUUUACCACUGAUACUUGAUGGUUAUUCUCCACCUUGAUUCAGACUUGUAUUACUGAUAUAAUAAUAUCUUUCAAGCUUCCAUGUGGCAGGUGUGAUUUCUGGCUAGUGAUCCAGAUUUUAACUUUAAUAACUUUGUUCUUGUUUUCAAGCUUGAUCUAUAUCUGUCUAAAUGAUGACAUGCGUGCAUGUUCCAGGAAUCAUGAUAUUACUGCAAAGAAAUCAGCCUAUGUGUCAAACUUAUGCACAGUUUAUGUUGUCUCAAAAGGAGUAUAUAUUCUUUCAAGAGAUAAAUUAUCAUCAACACGGAGACACAGUUUAUGUUGUUUUGAUCUUAGUCUUUCUCUUUGUAAACAUCAUUAUGAUGUAAUAAUAUAAGUCUACCUUUUUUACAUAAAAAUAAAAUAGUGCAUUGAAAAUGUAUUUUCAAUGCAACCCAACGGUGUAAAGGGGCACUAGUAACAAUAACAUCAGAAAGAAGAGACUAUGCAAAAUGAACAACUAAGCAAAAGCAACCAUUAUUGCAUAGGGAUGCAAUGAGAGUACAUAAUUUAAGUUCAAGAAUCCGACCAUAUAUUUUAACUAAGAAAUAUAGUCAGAAUUUAGUUCAAGACAAGAUGGAACAUAAAUUAACAUCACAAGUAACAGCUAAGAUGAGAUAACUUGCAAAGGGAUCAAAACAAGAUUGGAAUACAAGAUUAUAUUUCUCCUCUAUAGCCACCAGAGCCAAAAUAGUCUUUUCUAGAGUUAGAUAUGGCCACACUCUUCUGGUGCUCAAGUUUUGGACAGUCUCGAAUACGAUGUCCAAGACCACCACAAUACGCACAACCCUUGACACCACUUGCAUUCGCAAUGGUCUCUGCUUCUUCCAUUGGAUCAUUCAGUUCAGCAAGGACAGGUGGAAUCCUCUGUUUAGCUUCUUGCAACAAGUGUUUCAAAUCGAGCAGCGUGGUUUCGCUUUGGUUCUUGUUUAUAAAUGUAGUUGCUAUCCCAGUUUUCCCACACCGACCUGUUCGUCCUAUCCUAUGCACAUAGUUCUCAAUCUCUGCUGGCAUGUCGUAGUUGAUUACGUGUUGUAUAUCAGGGAAAUCUAGACCCUUUGAAGCAACAUCAGUCGCGACCAACACAUCUUUUUUCCCAGCUUUAAACGAAGAGAUUGCGUACUCUCUGUCUUCUUGAUCUUUCCCUCCAUGGAUGGCCACUGCUUCCACUCCUUUCAGUAACAAGUACUCGUGAAUAUCAUCAACAUCAGCUUUGUUCUCACAGAAUAUUAAAACCGGUGGAGAUGUUUUCUGUAGACACUCGAGGAGGUAAACAAUCUUUGCUUCUUGUUUGACAUAUUCUACCUCCUGGAUCACAUCGAGAUUCGCAGCUCCAGCUCUUCCUACAUUAACAGUCACAGGUUUCACCAGAGCACUUCUGGCAAAGAUUUGAAUCUUUGUGGGCAUUGUGGCUGAAAACAAAAGUGUUUGACGUUGAGACUUAAAGUGGUCAAAGACUUCCCUUAUGUCAUCUUCGAAACCCAAAUCAACCAACCUAUCUGCCUCAUCUAGUGUCAGGUACCUAUAAUAAGGAAAAAAGGAAGGUAAAUAUUAUUGCCAUCUAACAUUCUCAAGAUUUUGAAAUUAAAUGGCACAACCUCAAGACUCCAAAGACAAGAAAGAUGCAUUCAGAAAGGAACACAAGUGCGGAAAAUUUAUUCAUGAGAGAAAAAACCCUAUCGAAUCAUACAAUAGAGAACAUAUAGAGCAAAGAAGCUCUAAGCCACUAACAGACCCUAGACAAUUCUAUUGAUCUCUCCCGUUUCCUAGGCACAAUAAACCAAAAAGAAACAGAUAUCCUCAAGAAUCUAGCCAAGUGCAAAAGGUCAGAAAACGAGAAUAUAAGAUCAAACAAGGCAGCACAGAGAGAAGACGCAAACAUAUAUUACAAUCAGGUUGAUUAAUCAUAUUGAAAAGAACCAAAGAAGACGAACUAGAGUCAUACCUGCAAGCAUCUAAGCUCAUCUUUUUCUUGGCGAGCAUAUCCUUUAACCUCCCAGGGGUUGCAACAACGAUGUGGACACCUCUCUUGACAACCUCCAACUGGGAUCUCAUAUCAAUUCCACCAAUACAUAGCAACGACCUCAAUGGCGGGUAUCCAGCCUCGACCAAAGGAGCCACAAACUGCUCAACCACUUCAUAAGUCUGCCUAGCAAGCUCUCUAGAAGGGCAAACAAUAAGCCCAAUGGGACCUUCUCCCGCAGCAAUAGGCAUCAUCAUCUCUUCUUGGAGAGCAAUCAUGAUCAUGGGAAGCACGAAAACCAAAGUCUUUCCAGAACCAGUAAACGCAAUCCCAAUCAUAUCCCUCCCAGCCAAAAUCACAGGAAGACCCUGAACUUGAAUAGGAGUAGGCUGCACAAUUCCUUUCUCCUUAAGGGUAUCAAGAACAGGUCUAGGAAACUUCAUAUCCUUAAAGUUCUUGAUAGGAGGAGGAAUAUCAUCACCAUUAACAAUAAUAUGCCAUUGCUUCCUAAUCAAAUCUCUCUGCUUAUUCGACAUCCUCCUAAUAUGCAAAGGAGGUUUCCACCCGGUUAAGAGAGGCUCUGUAUAAGUGAUACCUUUGGCCAAUUCACGAACAGACAUAAGCGUCUUCUUAUCAGAUAAAUGCUCCAUCAUCUCUUUCUCUUGUAAGAUGAUUUGCUCAGUAGCACUAACUUGAGGAACAUCUCGCUUGAGCUGAGUUGCUUGAACGAGUAAACUAGGUUUAGCUUCAGCGAGCUUUUCCUUGUCAGCUUCUUCCUCCAAUUCCGAAGCUUUUCCCUUCCGUUGAAGUAUCUUCUGCGCUUCCAUUGCUCUCCGCUCCGCCACUGAAACAUACUCAACGUAACUAUCGUCGUCUUCCAUGAUGGAUUCAAUAUCGAGAAUUCAGCAACCUAGUAGAAGAGCCUCAAAGCCUGAAAUCAACAAAUUUUUGCAGAUCUCUCGAAUCAAUCGCUAAUACGGGUGACACAGAGGCUCAAAGACAAACUUCAAGACAGAAGCUAAUUAACAAUCAUCAUAAUUUAUGAAAGAACUUCAAGACAAAUUUAAUGUAGAUGUCAAAAAGAGAGUAGCUCUAGCUUAAUUAUUUACCUGCUGAAGUAGCUCUAGGUUUGUCAAACUCCACAGUCUGAAGUAGCUCUGAGAAAAUCAUACUCUGAUUGGUCUCCUGAUAUAGAAGAUGGACUUCUUUCUUUAGAAUCUGAAACAAAAAAAACAAAUCAAUCACAUGAAUAAACCAGAAGUGUCAGGUAAUAAGUUCCAAUUAUUAUCAAUGGGCUAAGUGAAAUACUAAACUGAACACAGACUUCAAAAUUUUCCAAUUCUCAUCAAAGUACCAAACGAGAUAAUUAUUAGAUUCAGACCAAACCACAGAAGAAGAAUAGAGUUCACUCAUAAAAAGAAUAACAAUGCCAAUAAGAAGAAUAACACAGAAGAAAAAGAGCAUUCAAAUGAGAGUCUCUGAAACUAAGCUAUCACAUGGAGUAACUUUGCUAAUUAGAGUAAAAGAAGACGCAGGAACUUGCAAAAGAAUUGUUACCAAAAAAAAAAAAUUACAAAAGAAGACACAGAUAUCUGCUUGAAUAUUUGCAGAGAGAAACCAAACAUAUCACAUGAUUAAAGAAUAUCUAUACUAACGUUCAUGAUACUAAUCUCAUUUCCAUACUAACGAUGAACUAUAUUUUACACAUAUCUUCUUCCUUCAUAUAUAUACUAAUCUCUAUACUAUUCUAAACUAAAGAUGAACUAAGCCAAUUUUGCUCACAAACCCAGAAAACCCAAAACCAAGCUCAAAGAGCAACGAUUUGAUGCAGAACAUGAAGAACCAAGUUCAAAAUGUAAGAAAUUAAAACCUUGGAAAGAAGAAGGGCUUAUUAAGAUAUGAGUAGGAACUAGCUUGGAGUUGUUGAUGUGUUCCGAGGUUAAACUCUGAAUCUCAUUCUUCUGAAAUUUAACAAAGAAUCAGCCAUAAGCCAAAACUCAAAAAACCCACAAUAGAGAUUAGAGAGAAAAACCCAGAAAGCAAAACCUUAGAAAUCAAUUUUGAUAUUGCAAAAGGGAAAAUUAGAGAAAUUACUUCGACUUUGGCUGGAGGAGGAGUAGAGGUUUCCGGUGAUGGAUCUUCGGCUUGGAGUGAUGAUUCCGGAAAAGAAAGAGGAAGUUCCGGUGGAGUUUGUACUGUGACGAAUCGGAGAAAGCAUGCGACGAAUCGGAGAAAGGUUCUCUUUUGCCUCCGACGACGAAUCUGUGAUGGAGGAGUAAACAAAACUAGCGUUACGAAUUUGGUAAUUAUUAACAAAACAUAAGGGCAUGGACGAGUAAACAAAACGUUUCCAAUCGCAUCACCAAUUUACCCUGCGAUCACAAAUUUCAGUCGCGGAUCACAGCGAUUGAUCGCAGCGUUUAGUUGCAGGUUCCUGCGACUGCUAAACGAACAACUUUCAAUUGCAGUUGCAGUGAGUGCCAAACGAACAGCCCCUACAAGCCCAAAUAGUUCUUACUUGUCGGGCCGUUCCGCGUUUUUGUGGGUGACUGGCAGGUACUUUUAGAAAAAAAAAAAGUAUAUUUUUUAUUUUUUCGAAAACAUCUAUGUAUUCACCUGUCAGAAAAAAAAAAAAGAGAAUAAUUGCUUUUCUACUGAAAAGUCAAAAAGCAUAGUAAAAAUGAAAAUUUUAUCCCUCUUCAAAAUAACUAAAGUAAUGUUUUCAUCUAAAGUAACGUUUUCUUCUCUAUUUCUUCUUUAGAAUUCUACUCAUUUCUUCUCAUUUUUUUACCAGUCAAACCUAAUAUAUUUUAGUAAUAUUUUUGAGAAAGUUUUUUAGAACAAAACUCAUUUUAGAAGUAUUUAUGAGAUUAAAAAAAAAAAAAGGUAUUUAUGAGAAUUGCCCACAAAUUUACUCAAUUUUUGGGUUUUACUUUAAUAUUAUUUCACUUUAGGGAAAAGUUAAUUAACAACGGUCUUCAAUUCGUGCAAAGUCUUCGACCGUGUCCCCAACCUUCUCGAACUUCUCUUUGAACCUCAAAUAAUCUCCACAUUUAAAAGACCGAAAUAUCCUCAUAUCCUCACAACCUCCCACCACUUCCUCAGGGUCAAAUACGACUUCACCGACGAGGGGCACGGUGAAUUUUGUUGAGCAUAUCGGCGAUUCUCCCUGAACCAAUCAGCGACUCUCUUUCACUCGAUCUGAGUCUUUUCUUCACCAAAUCGGCGUGUCUCUUUCACCAAGUAUUUCUGAUGGUACGCAUGUCUUUAUCAUACUACGAAUUCUUGUGUAUUUGAAUAUAUAAGAAAUUAGGGUUUCUGUGAUUUUAGGUAAAUUAGGGUUCUUUGUUGUUAGUAAAAUUAGGGUCCUUUGAAGACAAAUAGGGCAUGAUUGUGGUUACUUUUAGUCGAUUUUAGGCAUAGAUUGUUUGUGUCGAUUCAUCUUUUAGUUCGUUUAUGGAAGCCCUUUUCCUCUUCUGUCAUUUUUGUUGUUAAUUGGAAAUUAUAUCUACUUUAGGAAGAUCCUCCUGCUAAUAGCUAAAAAUGUAGCAUCUUAUUAUAUAAAGUAUGAUUUUCAAAGUUAGUAAUUCAUAGGAUCGUGACACGUGUCAAUUUCAUCGAUCUCAGAUUUUGAUAUGUGUUAAACAAAAAUUUCUUCUUUUCUUAAAAAUAUAUAUAAACAAACUAUACGCGCAUGUCAAAUUUAUUGAUAUCAGAUUUUAACACGUGUAAAACUAAAUUUUUAUUUAUUUAGAAAAAAUAUAAGAAAAUAAUACGUAUACAUCUUAUAUAAAAUAAUUCUAAAAAUCUAAAGAAGAUCAUUAUUAGGAAACUAGAUGUAUCUUAUUAAAUAAAAAUAGAAAUCUAAGACAAAAAAAUAUAAGGCAACCAUACAUACAUAUCUUAUAUGAAAUAAUUUUUAAAAAGUAAAGAAGAUAAUUAUAAGGAAACUAUAUGUAUCUUAUUAAAUAAAAAUAGAAAUUAAAAAAUCAUUUACUAAUUCUAAUUUAAAGCUACUAAAGAUUGAUUUUCAAGGGUUUUAAAUUUAAAUUUUUAGGUUUGGGUUGAUUAUUUUAGAUUAAAGGCAUAGUUUUAGGAGGUAGGGUUUACCUUUAAAGGUUGAAAGUUUAAUUUUAGUUUUGUGGUAUUUGGUUUACAAAAAAAAAAAAAAAAAAAAAAAAGUUUUUUGGUAUUUUUGGGAAAACCAGAAAUUAAAUGAAUUAUUGGGAAUAUUAAACUAAUAAUGAUAGUUUUGAAAACCAAAACUUAAGUGUUUUAUUUUUUAGAAUUGUACUAUACUUUUUAUUCGAAAUAUUAUUUUAGUUAAACAAUUCUAAUUGUUAAACAAACUAUGUAAAAGUGAAAGUAAAGAAACAUGAGAAGAAACAUACACUUUGUUUAUUGUGUUCAUAGAGAUAUUUUUUAGGUGGUAGCAAAUAGCAGAUUUCAACAGUAAAAUAUGAUUGAGUCUAAAAAAGAUAUUUUGAGUGGUAAGCUAUUAAAUUGUAAAUAGAUGUAAAUAAGAUGAAGGUUUGACCUGUGGUUUAUAUGUAAAAUAUUUUCUGCAAAAUUUUUGGAUUCAUAUUCUAGGUCUUGGCAAAAUUUUUGGUGAAUGGUAAUUUAAAGUUACUUUAUUAUUAUAAUAAAUGUACCAAGAAAUUCAAACUAUAAUAAUGCAAAUAAGUGUAUUAAGGCAAAAGAUGAAUAUAUAAACAAAUCUUCUAUCUAAUUGAAAAUUUAUCUUCUUAUUUCUUAAAAUAGUUUCUAUUUUUUUUUUAACGUCGUGCAUUGAAUAUCAAAAUGAAACCGAGUUUGAUGACAGAGAAAGAAAAAGCUCAAAAACAGAGCAAAACGAGAAGUAAAAACAGAGCAAGACAAUAGCGUGAAUAAAAACUCGACUAAGAUACCGUCGGUGCAAGAUAGACGAAGGAUUGAGACUCCGUGAAAUGGUUACGUGCAGCGUCUCCGUUCCUCCUCAAUUAUGUUAUGAAGCCAAGCUGGUCCUCCUAUCGCCAUGUAAGAGUUGAAUCGACCUUCUCGUGUGACACUACAGGCAAUAUCCCUGGCCAAGGAAUUGGCUUUCGGUGAAGAGAUGUGAAAAGAAAUAUCCCGCAUCACCUGUACUACCUGAGUAAUUUUGCUGAGAAUAGAUCGAUAUUUUGGCCAAUCUUUCGGUGUAGCUAACGCCCGUAUCGCUGCUGUGCAAUCUGACCAAAUCUCACACGAUUCCACAUGGACUUGAUGUAGACUUUGUAGACACCAUAAGAUGCAAUGUAACUCCGCAGCCACCCUGUUAAACAUGGGAAGAAAAGCAUCUCUAGCGUGUAAGACCGCAUCACCAUUAUGAUUACGUAAUAACCAUGCUCCUCCGCAAUGAAAAAUAUCUUUUAUCCAGGAGGCAUGCACGUUACACUUUAGCUUUCCACUCGCUGGUCUACUCCAUCUUGUUGCGAAAAAUAGUUUCUAUUCACAAUAAAAAAAAUUAAAUAUAUCUAGUUUUUGUUAAAUUUAAUUUUAUUUAAAAUUUUAAAAUCCGCACAUCGGGCGGAUCCUUAUCUAGUUUAUUAUAUAUCACUGACUUGAACUAACUUUUUCUAUCUUUUUUUGGUGGGCAGUGUCUUCGAACGCUUCAUCUCCUCGUCAUGGUAGCCAGUUACCUGACUGAAGCAUGCUUCUUUCUGGUAAAAUAUUAUUAUUUUUGAUAAAAUUUUACUAUUUUUGGAUUAAAAGUUAAUUUUUAUAUAUUUUAAUUAUUUUUAAAUAUAUAUUUAACGGAUUAGAUAUCCGACAAAUAGUCUGGAUUUUUACGGAUAUUCGAACAGCCGGAUAUCCGAUCACUAACGAAGCAAAUACGGAUCAGAAAACUAAUUAUUCGGAUAAAGCAAAUCGGAUCACGAAUACCACCAAAAUUUCGGAUAUCCGUUUUGUGCCCAAUCCCUACGAACCAUGACUAAUUUAAUACAAGUGAUGAUGAUUAUAUAUAUAUAUAUUUUUUGGUGCAUGCAUACAUUAGUUAUUUUUAUUUUAUAAAUUUAAUUUUUAUUUGGGAUAUAUAUUUAACCAUAUAAUGAAUCAUACUUGAUGUACCUGCAAAACAAAUUUCAUAGUUUCUGAAACGGAGCAACGUUGACAUUGCAAAUGUUUCGGCUUCUCUCUUUCCCUCUUUUAUGUCUAAGUGCAUUUUCACAUAUGUAAAUGAUCACUUUAUUUGUUAGUAUUCAUUGGAUUGUGUUGUUGCCAAAAAACGGACAUUGUCACAUAUCCCUUUAUAUUAUAAGGAAGACAAAGGACGUGAGGACAAGAUAUAGAGUCCGAGGCUAUAUCAUGCGACCAACUAAAGUCAAAAAUCAAGAGAAAUUGGAAAUUUGUGUAUCUCAUUAUAUUUUAGCAAGGGCAAAAAAAAAAACAAUUGAAAAUAUGGAAAAAUGGAUAGAAAAACCCUUACCUUUUCUUAAAAACAUAUAAAAAACCUUAACUUUUUUUGUGGGUUUUUAAACCCCCACCUUUUUAUAAAUGGUAAUAUAAACCCUAUUAUUCAUAAAGUCAAUUUAAAUUCAAACAAAUCAUUAUAUUAUAAUAUAAAUAUAUAUAAAUAAUUUGAUUUAGGAUUUUCUAUUCUAAUGUUUACAAUCUUUUUUUUAAUUGAAAUUUUUUAAAAUCAUGAUGUAAGAAAGUUAAUUAAUGAAGUUUUAUUCGGCUGUAUUACAAAAAUUCAUCAACAUGAAACUAAACAAAUUUUGUUACGAGUGACAUAUACAUUCUUUUACCUAACCGAAUAUGAAUUUAUUUUAAUAAAUAUUUAUUCGGUUCGAUCACACAAAUUGCUAACGUGAAACCAAAACAAAUUUUAUAAUACUACGAGAAAAGUAUAAGAAUUUCCACAUGAAAAUAUUUUCAUCAGACAAAGAAAAUAAAUAAACAUUUAUUAGCAGUUAAUAUUUCUAUAUAAAUUAUGAUUUAUUUAAAAUAGAAUUGAAAUAAUUUUAGUUAAUCAUUAUUUAACUAUAUUUUUCUCCAAAAUUGAACCUCCAACUGAAUUUUGUUAUAAUUUUGACUAUUUCUUAAAAUAAAAGAUGAACAUCUCAAACAAACAAAAAAAAAAUCAAAUGUGGUAUCCUAUAAAUUUUUGUAAUUUAUAUAACAUAACUUCUAAUGGUAACAAAACUGAUUUACCUAAUCUCAACUAUAUGGUGAAUGAACUUUUAUAUCGCAAAAACCCUAAUUUUAGAAAGAAAAAUAGCGAACUCGAAUUUGAAAAGAAUAAAUGAUAAAUUAAAUUAUUUUCCUUUAUUGUUAUUUCAGUAUAACGAUUUUAUUUAAAUUUAAGUUGAGUUUAUGAAUAUUAGGUUUUAUUUUACCACUUAUGAAAAGGUGAGGGUUUAAAAACCCACAAAAAAAGUUGAGGGUUUUUGAUAUGUUUUAGGAAAGGUGAGGGUUUUUCUACCCAUUUUUCCUGAAAAUAUAGAUCAUUUAUAUGAAUCUCAUUAUAUUUUAGUAAUCUUUAGAAUUAAUUCGUAAACUAACACCAAAAAUCAAGUGAAAUACUAUUACAUGUCUAGUUAAAAGAUGAAAAAUCCAUUAAAAUAUAGGGAGAGUUUACAAAAUAUACUCAAAUUUUAAUAUCAUAAAUCCCUAGUUACAUGUAAGAAAUAUUUUGCAUAAAUAAUAAUAAUUUCCAUAUGUUUAAAUAAUUUUUUUUAUUUAAAUGUUAGAUUUAUCACUAAAUUUUGUUUUCCAUGAGAAAAUUAUUUUGUAUUCCUAGAUGAUAUCUUAUUAUAUAAAAUAUGAUUUUCAAAGUUAGUAACUCAUAUGAUCGUACCACGUGUCAAAUUUAUCGAUCUCAGAUUUUGACAUGUGUAAAUAAAAAAUUUCCUUUUAUUUAGUUUUUAAAAAAGGAAAGUAUAAAUAUAUAUCUUAUAUCAAACAAUUCCAAGAAUCUAAAGAAGACAUUUAUAAGAAAAUUAUACGUAUAUCUUAUUAUAUAAAAAUAGAAAUUAUAAAAUUAUUUACUAAUUCUAAUUUAAGUUACUAAUUCUAAAAGAAAAAUACUAUUUUCUUAAAAAUAAAAAAGUAUUUAAGAACAUACUAAUUAUAAAAUUAAUUAAUAAAAUACGAUAAUUAAGAAAAUUAUACAAAAAAUUAUUAAUCUUAAAAGAAAAAUUAUACUCAUCUCUAAACAAAUAGAUUGUCUCCUAAUUUUUCACCAAACAAAAUAGUUUCUUCAAAAACACCACAACUGCUCCUAUUUAUUUAGUUCUUUUUUUUUUUUUUUUUUAUAUAAAUACAUCAUCAAUUAUUGAUAUGUGAUAUUUUUUUGAGAAAUUUCUUAAAAUACCACGCUUUCAAUUUUUUUUUUUUUACGAAAAAUACCACUAUUAGUUUAAUGUUCGAAAAAUAUCACACAAUUUUUUGUUUUUUUUUUUAAAAUACCACAAACACAAAAAUUGAUUUUCAAGGGUUCAAAUUUAAGUUUUUAUGUUUGGGUUGAUUAUUUUAGAUUUAAUGUAUAGUUUAUAUGGGGUUUGGUUUAGUAUUUAGGGUUUAGCUUUGAAGGUUAAAUUCUAAUUUUAUUUUUGUGGUAUUUUUGGGAAACCCAGAAAUUAAGUGGUAUUUUACAAUAUUAUAUUAUUAAGUGUGUAUUUUUGAGAAUUGUCAUAUAUUUUCAUUAUAAAUACUUUUUGAGUUAAACAAUUUUAAUGGUUAAAGAAACUAUGUAAAAGUGAAAGUAAAGAAACAUAUCAUUGGCUUAAUAUGUUAAUAGAGACAUUUUUUAAGUGGUGGUAAACUCAUGCAACACUAAAAUAUGAUUGAGUGUUGAAAAUACAUUUUGAGUGGUAAAUGUGGAUGUCGGAUUCACACACUCAAGUAUUUUUAUUAUAUAGGAAAGAUUAUUCUUGAGGGACAAAAAAUAAGAAUGUAAAAGGCUUAUGAAUUGCUACAAAAAUUGCUAUAGUAUUUCUCGCUCAAGAGAACCCUCCCUUUUUACAUGGCCAUUGGCCUUUAUAUUUAUACAUAGAAGAAUGACAUUUAAUGGGCUAAUUAAGUAUAAUUAUUCUCUCUUAAACGUGACCGUUUUGGUCUUUGACUUUAAUGAUAAACGUUCGAAUUUGAAUUGAUUCUGAUCUUCAUGGGCCUCGCCUUUUGGCCCAAAUGUCCUUGGACCGAUUUGACCAUGACUUCGUCUCCGGAGUGGUGUUGAGGUGCAGUCACUUCGGAUUCUCCUUAUAGUGAUAACCACUUCGACUGUUCUUUUGACUUGUGGAUCUAAUGGGCUUUAUCCUUUAUUGGCCGUUAUCCUGACUAGGUGGCAAUCUUUGGUUGGUUCCGAACAUUUGGUGCGGGAUCCGACACCAACAGUAAACUAUUAAAUUUUUAAAUAAAUGUAAAUAAAAUGACGGUUUGAUAUGUGGUUUAUAUGUGAAAUAUUUCAUGAAAAAGUUAUGGAAUCAUAUUUUAAGCGAAAUUGCAAACCAUGUUUCUUGAGAUUUAACAAUAAUAAUAACUAAUAUUUUGGCAAGUAUUUUGGUGAUUGGUAAUUUAAAUUAACUUGAUUAUUAUAAUAAAUGCACUAAUAAAAUUAAAAUAUAGAAAUGCAAAUAAGGGUAUUAAAGCAAAAAGAUGAAUAUAUAAACAAAUUUUCUCUUUAGUUAAUAAUUUAUCUUCUUAUUUCUAAAAAAUAUUUUCUAUUCACAAUAAAAAUUUAAUAUACAUUUUUUGUUAAAUUUAAUUUUAUUUCAUAAAUUUAAACCCGUACAUCGGGCGGAUCCUAAUCUAGUAUUAUAUAUUAUAGAAUAUAGUAUAUCUUGGAAUUGGGAUAUAUAUAUAUAUAUAUAUUGUUGGAAUAAGCUUGAAGAAAUAACUUGUGCGACAAGUUAUUUAUUAAAAGAAGAGAAAUGUUUAAGUCUUUAGGAUUUAUCUUGAAAUAUUGUUUAGGAGUUAUGUAAACAAUUGUUAGUUUGUAAGGUUUGAGAGAUUGAGAGAACUUGAGGGCUUAGUUUUGAGCAAGUUUCUAAAGCAUAAUAAGAAGAGAGUAAUUCUUAAUCCUUGAGUUCAUAUAUAAUCGUCUUAAACACUUGAUAUUUAUUCCAAGUUUUAUGUUUUGAACUUGAUUCAUGAUUUCAUGGUCUCCCUUCAAUAUUCUCAUUUGAAGUUCCAUGCAGAAGAAUUAUAUAUGCAUGGCAGAAUUAUGCGAGAACUUUACACUAUAUAUGAAGCAAGGUAUGGAAGAAUGAACAAAGAUCAAACAACCAACCGGCUGACAUCUUAGCACGAAGUGACAUUACAGAUAAUGCUUCUUUCUAUUAUCAUUACUACGUUCCUCAUAUAAUAUGUAAUGCUUUACAUUCAAACAAUGUAUCAAUUUACUACAAGAAAAAAUGAAUUUAGCGACUACACAAAACGUAACUAAAGAGUCGCUAAACCCAUAAUUACGACUGAUUGACGACUAAAACACGUUGUCGCUGAACACUGCGUCGCUAAAAUUAGUGGUAGGAAAACAGUCGCUAUUUAGCGACCAUUCCGCGACCACUGUUGGUCGUCGCUAGUCGAUCGCCAAACAGUCGCUAAUUUAGCUACUGGUUUGCGAUAAACAAGCCACUAAAUGGCGACUGGUUUGGCGACUGAAUUGGUGACUGAACUGCAGUCACUUUGCGACUGAUUAGAGGUUUAUUUAUCGUUUUAGCCUGCUAUUUUCGAUUCCAGUUACGCAUUUAUAAUCAAAACCAAACAUACAAAAAAUAACCUUGGAAUUAAAACAGAAAACAUAACAAACAUAAAAAUAAUACUUGUUCAAAACAAAACAUUAGUAGCAAGAGUACUUGUACCAUCACCACCAACAAACUUAACCAAAUAUCAAGUUCAAGUUUUUAAGUUGAGAGGAGAGAAAGCUAAGGGACAUUAGUAGCAGGAGUAGUAGCAGAAGUAGUAGGAGGGACCUCUGAAUGAUCAUCCGCAGGAGUUGAUUGAGACUUGAGGAAGGCCAAAAAAUUUGGGCCAGUUUCACUCAAGUACUUCUUCACCAUCGUCAAGUUUUUGAUCUCAGCUGUAACCCGCAAUGCCUCUGCUUCACGUUCUGCUUGUAGAGCUGCUUGUUCCUCUAUCUUGCGGUUAGCAUCCUCAAGCUGUGAUUGCAGGGUUGUGAAAGAAGAAGUGCUUCAUGGGUACUUACGCUUCCCGUUGAUGUAAACCCCUAAGCUUCCAACUCCAAAGUAUUCCCCUCUAUCAUUUGUGACAGUAGACGGCAUAACAAAAGAAAGAGUAUUAGUCCUUAACAUGAGAAAAAAACAACCAUAAAUAACCACAUAAUUACUUGAAGGAAGAUCUCAUCCUCCUCCUCUUGAGAUAGCUUAGAGCGACGUGAAGUACCAUCAGAUUGUUCAUCAUUCUCAUGAAGGGCAACCAACUUAGCUGCCUUGUUCUUAAGAUAUGCCUCACAGAUUUCAUGCGGCUUCCUAUCCACAAAUGUCCCAUCCUUCUUGGUAUGAGUCCUGAUGAACACUUCACCAAUAGUAGGCGGUUUUCCCAAUUCAACUUCCUCAAAUGUUGUAACAUAGAUGUCACAAUGUAACUAAACAAAACAAAUUUAAAACAGAUUUGUAACUUACCAUCUCUUGCUCUACUUGUAAGAAGGACUUCGGACCAAAUACAUGCUUGUGAGGACCAAGGCCAUUAUGGUCAGACAUUCUAGCUGCGGAUGUGGUUGAACUCUUUUCUAUGGCUUCUUCAGUGUCCCAAUAGUCACACAUCUCUUUCCACAGUUUUUUCUCAAUCUAAUACGGCUUCUCUCUUCUUGUCGCUGCCUUACUAACCAUGUCUUUCAUACGAAGUUGAAUGAUCUUAUAGAAUUUGGCUUCAACCACAAAUGAUCUUAUAAAAUUUGGCUUCAAUCACACAUGUUAGUGAGGGAUGCCAGGUGUGUUGUUUCUACAAAACAAGAGGAGAGUGAAGCAGAUUUUAGUGAUCAGAAAACCAAAACUGAAGUAUAAAUACAGUAGUAGAAGAGGGAUAGAAAUUUAAUGCAAAUUCGAGGAAGUCUCUUUCUCUUAUUCUAGUUUGCACACAGCUCCAACUGUAGUAUGAUCCAUCAAACUUGUUUGUAAAACACUUGGUGAUCUUCCGGGUCAGUUUACCAUUAUCCUAUCAGUGUUUUUUUAGUUUUCCUCGAAUAUUUGAGAAAGUUCUUUUUAGAAUUCGAAUCAGUCAUCAACCACACUGUCCAGCUUGCCAUCAAUACAAAAAUAUAUUAAAAAACUGGUCGUUACUAUAAAUAAUUAUUAUAUGUUUUGGAUAUUCUCAAUUUUUGAAUUUUAUGUUUAUCUGAGGUUAUUAAUCAGUUACCAACCAUUUAUUCUAUAUGUUAGACUUAUACGGAACUUGAAAUUGAUCACUAAGUAGAGUAAAGUUCAACAUGCCUCUUUGUUGGAAAAACGGCUUUUCAUACCUUAAUCUAAUAAGUAUGUUCAAUUCAUACAUUAACUAUACCUCUGUACAGAUACAUAUCUCAACUAAGAAAAAAUUCAAAUUUGCUAUAUGCCACCAUUUAUUUACUUCUUCUUCGUUUUUCCUCUCUACUGGAAUUACUAUUUGAGGAUUUUCCAAAGUCCAAGAUCCUUUAAUGGCGCCAUCAGCUUGUUCAUAUUAGCAUUUUAAUUUUCUUAAAGUUUCUAAAUUGUAGUUAGUUUAAUAGAUUUCGAACUUGAACAAUUGAAAUUCCAACUUGAACAAAUUCAUGAUGUAAUUGUAGAACUCUAGAUUUCUAUAAAUCUACAUAUUGUGAUUCCAGUAGAGAUAAAGAAGAAGGAGAAAUAAAUAAAUGUUGGAAACGUCGUUUUGUCUCAAAUUUUAGGUGUUUAAUUUGGUUAAGAUUUAAACGGUAUAGUUAAUGAUAUUAGCAUCUACGUAUGUUACAAUAGACAUAAUGUUAACCACAUCUCAGGAUAUGCAUGUUAUUGCACGAAACAAAAAGAUUAGGUAGUGAAUUUAAAUUUUUGCUUAGUUUGGGUAUGUAUCUGCACAAAAGUAUAGUUAAGGUAUGAAUUGAACAUACCUAUUGAGUUGAGGUAUGAAAAAGUCGUUCUUCCCCUCUUUGCCACUCUGAUUUUUGGCAGAGUAAUGAAGGAAAAAAAAAAGUAAUCUGGAAAUUAAAAAAUACAAUGAAUUAUACCAAUAUAACUUACAUUUUCUGAGGAUCUACGUCUUCGAGGAAACAAACACUCCCUCAAACCGGGCCUUGUGGCCUAGUGGUAAAGGGGUCACAGCUGUGACUUCCGCCACCGGGGUUCAAGGCACGGCCACUGGCAGGUUUACAUAGGGGAAUUGCCAGCCUCGUGGGAUUAGUCUUUGGGCCUAGGAAGCCUUUGGGAGACCCGCGGUUAUUCAAAAAAAAAACACUCCCUCAAGCUAUUGAUAUUCAUCAAAUUACAAGAGCUAACAAAGAAGCUUUGUUUAAUACCGAACUAUUUAAUACUUUUUUUAAUUAAUAAACUUGUAAAUAUCAUAUAGAAUGAAAUGUUUAGGCUUUACAAAAUAUAGACCUUAACCUUACUACUGUGGCAAAAAAAAGAAAUAAAAAAACAAGAGAGUUAAAGAACUCAUUCUAACCACAGUUGCAUUAAAUUAGAGAAUUUGUUGAGAUGUCUUCUAGCAGUAAUCGAGUUACGAACUACAUAAUUUAUUAGAAGACAAAAGUGCCAUUAAUCUACUUAAUGUAUUAAUCCUCUUAAUGGUCCAUAUUUUCUUGAAGUUCACUAACAACCCGUUUGCAAGUGACUCCCUCGUAAUCUACUUAAUGUAUUAAUCCUCUUAAUGGUCCAUAUUUUCUUGAAGUUCCAUUUGAGUAAAGCUUGAACCUCUCCACCAGCAAGAGUAUUGCCCACACAAGGGCUAUUUAACCCCAUGAUAUAAUCUGAAUUACGUAAUGAAAAUAAAAUAUGAAAAUUCAGUAACAAAAUUUAAAUAAUGAAUUAAAAAAUUACAUAUAAUAUUUAAAUGAUUAAAAUCGUACAAAAACGAUAUAUGGAACAAUAGAAAAGUACAUACAUAAUAAACAGAAAUCUAAAUUUACUAGUCUGGCAUCCGCAAGCUGAAGAAGAAUUUUUAAAUAACCUCGAAAUCUUUAGAUCGACUGUCAUCCUCCUCCUUCAUAUGCGUCAUCUUCUCAUUGCUUCACGGGAUCCUUCGUCGCUUGAAGCAAUUCUUGAGUCAUGGACAAGGUCGGCCCUGUCAUAAAGCAACUAAAGCACAAGCUUUAGGCCACUGAAUAUAAACUAAAUUUUAGGGCCACAUUUUUCUAAAUGUUAUAUUUGCUCAGUGGUUAUAUAGUCCAAAAGUUUAUUGUAGGUAUAGAAUUCGAAUCCCUUUGAAGUCACGGUUCCUUCUUUUUUGGGGUAAUAUUUCCAGCUUCUCUCUUUAAUUAUCUCUUUAUUCUUCUCUUCCCUCCAGUUUUUUUUAAUAGAUUUUAUUUGCUAAAGUGCUCAUGCUAAUCAUUUUCGUAAGAACAACAGAACUAAUUACUAUCGUCACUGUGAUAUUCAAUAUCAUAUAUAACUGUGAGAUUCAAUAUCUAUGUUUACGAAUCACGAACACGAAAAUGACAACAAUUACAUUUCUGUAUAUAUAUUUCUGAUUUAAUCUAUUAUUACUCGACUAUGAAAACCUAAUUAAUUACUGAAUUUGUUGAAGAAAAAAUUAGAAAAGUUUAUUUUUGUGAACGGAAAUAAAUUAGAUUGUCUUACGUUGUUAAUAUAUUUAAUGUUUUUUUUCAUCAACUAUAUCUGAUGAUUUACAAAAAAAAAUUAUAGUGUUUUAAUGUUAAUUUUUUAAUCAUUAGUAUAUAAGAAGUCCACAUAGUUUAAGCAUGCUUUAGGCCACAUAAUGUCAAGGACCGGCCCUGGUCAUGGAGCUUGCUGGAGUAAACGAGAAUGAUGUUACACAGCCCUCUGGAAUGAAGUCUAAGCCGUGUCGACGUCCUUCUUCUUUACAAAAACAUUCUAAUAUUGAAAACUAAUAAUUAAAACUAGUUACUUACAGAGAUAGAGAAAAUGUACUUACUGAUUGGUAGAGCUUCUCCAUAUCAGUUUUUGACACCUCCCUGGACUAGAUGGAGAAUGCAUGCGCCGCGCCCUUAGAGAGGAAAACCUAAGAUAACUGCUUGCCAACCUUCUUCUUGACAACCUCGAAGAUGGUCUACUAAAUCUUCUUGUCGAAGAUAGUACUAUUGGAAUUACCUCCUUAAAGUUACCUCUAUAAGGGUUUUAUGAGGAAAAAGUUCUCCAAAUUCAAACAAUUUUGGAUUGAUGUAUGUUUGGAGAUCUCUAUAUAUACCGCCUUCAUUGAUGUUGAAGCCAUUUGCUUUUCGUGAUGUGAUAUGUUCUUGUCUAAUGGGCCAAGUGUGUGGUUCAAAUUUUGUCACCCAUCUAAAAAGAAUGCACUCCUUGAUAAACAAAGCAAGCUAUGUAAGGAUAUAAUAGUACUCUGAUCGAUGAGCUCCUUUUCAUAAUUAUCGUAGAGUGACGGUAGAUUUAUCUCUUCGGACAAGUUUAUUUGGUUAAGGCCACAUUUCCAUCCUAACUUGUUUUUGGAGUUUAAUUUUUUUUUCGAAUAUUCCUUUUUGUUUUCAGUUUUAUAUUUGUAAAUUAAAGUUUCAUAAAAGAAAAAAGAUAAACACACAAUAUUAGUGGUUUUGUGUGGAUCAUCUACUCCGUUUUAGGAGUGUUAGAGCAUCUCCAACCCACAUCUAUAUUUAUCUCUAAAAUAGAGAUUUCUAUUUUUUUCUCUAUAUAUAGAGGUGGGAAUAGAGAAUCUCUAUUUUUUUCUCUAUAAAUAGAGUUAAAUUUUUUAGAGGAAAAAAUAGAGGAACACAUUGGAGUAAAAAUAGAGAAAAUUUAUCUCUAUUAUAGAAAUAGAGCUAAAAAUAGGGAAAUACAUUGGAGAUGGUCUUAACCAUCUUUUAUGAAUUAACUAGGUCCGGACCCGCACAUACGUGCGGGGUUUUAUAUUUUGAAAGAUGCGGGUUGAAUAUUUUUUGUAUAACGUAUAGUGAAAACGGGUCUAACAUUUAGUGUUGGAAAACGUAUGUAUGGGGUUUUUUGUUUGAUUGGUUAAAAAGAUUGGAAAGAAUAAUUAGUAAGAAUUUAGUAAUUUUGAUUGGUGAAUGAUUGGAUAUCUUGGUUUGGUUUUGUUGAAUUAUUGAGAAAGUUGCAAAAUUGGUUGUAAUAUUUGUGAAACGAAAUUAUUAUUCUGAGUUUUAUUGUAUAUUUUUAUUUCUUAAACUAAAAAAUGAUUUGUUUGGUGAAAUAAAAUUAUUGUUUGUAAUUUGAUGCAUAUUUCAUAAAUAUAAAUGAUUAUAAUUCAGAUAAAGGCCCGUUAAUGAUUCCCCUUUUAAUUAGGAUUGGGCUGGAUUUUUGAUAGACCCAUUUAGAGAUCCAUGGUUUCGUUUUUGUUUUUUAAUACAGAAUCAAAUGUUUUUUUUUUCUUUUGGACAGAAGUGAUUAUAGCACGAUUCUUUGUCUUAUGGUCUUCAAAGAAUGAAUCCCUAAAAAUCAGAAGCUUUUCCGAUUUCUCAAUCAAUGUCAAAAGUUUCGAUCAUCAAUCGAGUCUCUGUACAUAUAAUUUCCAUAUCAGAUUCGGAAUUUCUCCAAAGAGGUAAGGUUUUUAGAGAUUCUUCUUCAAUCAAUCUAUUUUUAUAAUCUGUUGAUUCAUUUACAAUCUUUGUAAUUCUGUGUUUCAACAGAGAUCUUGGGCUAUUACUGUGGGUAUACGAACUUGCAUGAGUAAGUAUUUUCAAUUAUAUUUGUUGUUUAGAUCCGUAAUUGCAUGUCUAUAAUUUUUGUGUUUAUUCGGGUAACUCUAUCUAUUAUCAAAAUCUUCUAUGCGUUGGAGUGAAAAGAGGCUAUAAUUUGAUUUUGUAUAGAUUUAGGCAAUAGAUUUUGUUUCCUAAUAUUUAAUUUGUUCCUAAAUUGAUUUUAGAUAAUGAUUGGAUGAUGAUUUUGUCUGAGGAAGACGAUUUACAAAGUUAAGCUUUCUAUUACAGCUCUUACAUAACAAAACAAUGUCUUAAUAUAUAUGGUUCUGAUUUUACCAAAUACAAUGUUUACAGAGAAGGCAAAAUAUUCGAGUUGAUUUCAAUCUGAGAAGACAAAUUUGAUGUCCUUUAGUAGCCAUAACGGAAUCUGGAAGCUAUUUUAAAGGUUAGAUUAUGUAAUCUCUUUCUGAAAUUGUAGAGUUGUUAUAUAAAACAUAUAGUUGUCAAUCUAUACUUUUAAAUAUUGAUAUUGCGUAGCUUAACAAUUAUGAGUACAAUAUAGUUUUUAGAAAACUUACUUAAAUUUAGGGAAUAUACUAAUUAAACUUUUUAUGGAAAACAGAGUAAAAUAGAGAUUAAAUACAAAAGAAACAAAUAGGGUAGGUUUAAGUCGAUUACAAAAGGAGUUUUCCAUACCUCCAAGGAAGUUUUUAAAAAGACAGAGUUCAUCUCCUCUAAAAAUGUAAAAAGAAACAACAUAAACUAAGAGAAACUGAAGUAACCUUGCAAAUCCAAUCCCUCCUUCCUUCACAUGUUAGUUCUCAUCAACCAUCUCCAUCAUCACAUCCUCUUCGUCACUUGAUCCAUCGUCGAAUGAUCGCCUGCAAAAAAACAUAUGCUUUAUGUUUACCUAGGCUAUGAAUCUCAACCAAAAUAUAAGCCAAUUAUAAGAGAAUUUUUAACUUACAGAUAACUUGGAAUGUCAAGUUCAUAAAAGAUUGGAUCAAUGUAUAGACGUGAACAGCCAUAUUCACUCAUUAAAACAUUGUUUCCUAUAGGAAAAAAAAAGAUUCAGUCAAUGUAACUAAUAAAAUUGUAAAGUCAGUUCAUAAAACUAUAAUAAGAACCAACCACAGUAAGAAGUUAUUCUCCAGAAACGCAAGACUGCAACAAUCUUAUCAUAGUUGUAGUUUAUUCCGCUUAUUUUCUGAGACCAAGUGUUCACAAAGAACUCACACCACUUUCCCACAGCUACGCAUUUUAUUGUCUCCCCCCUAGAUUAAAAGUUUAAUUUCCAAACAAAAGAACAGUCAAUCCAAUUUCUUAAAGUAAUUUAAGAACAACCAUUGAAAUUCUGUUAUAGAGGGUAAACUAAACUUACACAUUAUUUUUAAUUUUGAAGCAGACAUAGCGAGAUUCAUAGUCUGUUUCUCCUCUGCGACACACAUAUGGAAACCUUCCUAUGGUGGAAACAGCAGAGAUAACUCCCAUAGCAUCUAAGUAAAAAUUAAAGGAAAAUGGUCAUAUAAGUCUUCAUAUAUAAUAAAUCUUGGUAUAAAACAUUUAAUUUCACAAAUUAUUACCAAAGACAGAGUUUUUAUCAUCUUCAUGAGCAUUUCUGACAGUAUCAGGCCAAACAAAGUUCCAGUAAUUGUUCCAAGACUUAGAUCUAACAGGCCACAUGGUAGUUCCACUCAAAAACUUAACCUGAAGUGGCAUAGUUGAAUAUCUGACUUGGUUUUUAGGUAUGAUGACUUGAAAGUCAGUCAUGUAGUACCAAACGUCUUGUUUGAGUCCUCGCUGAAAGUUCCAGAGGUAGUAACCUUGUGGAAUUGUUGCGUCCAUUAAAUUCCCCUAUACAAAGGAAAGAAACAAAUUAGAUAAGUAGUUUUUCAACCCUAGAACAUGAUUUUAAAAAGGUGUAAAACAGAACAAUAGAAUUAGAAACAAACCUUCUCAUCUGCGAGAAUCAUUGUAGUUAGAUCACCAUUGAAAGGAGGAUUAUGAUGCCAGAUACUCAUUAUCUUAACACAAACCCUCCACUUUGUGGAAUGUCUUCGCAAAUCAGAGAGAAGGUGCAUUUUCUCCAUAGUUUCUAAAAGAUUUUGUUUUGCUUUCAACUGGGAAGAUAUCUCUGUAAAUCUAAAAUCUCUCAACGCAUAUAUAUAGAUAUAGAUAUAUUGGUUAAGAGACGCAAAGGAUUAAAAUAAAAAGAAAAGGAAACUGAAUCGUUAAUAGAAUAUAUAAAAUAUAAAAAUUUGAAAAGACUGAUGCAAAUCAUUGCUAAUUAUUACAAAAGGAUACAGUUUACAUUUUUCAAGAUACACCCAACGAUUUAGAUUUGCCUAGAUUGUAUAAACCGUCAAAUAUGGAAGUUUCUUUAGUUUUUGUUAUUCAUGAUAGAUUUUUUAUAUAAUAGAUUAUAUAUAAGUAAAAUAUAUAAGUAAAUAUGUACUUAAAUAAUAGUAUCGAUUUUUUGUAACAGGAUCUAGAUUUGCCUAGAUUGUAUAAACCGUCAAAUAUGGAAGUUUCUUUAGUUUUUGUUAUUCAUGAUAGAUUUUUUAUAUAAUAGAUUAUAUAUAAGUAAAAUAUAUAAGUAAAUAUGUACUUAAAUAAUAGUAUCGAUUUUUUGUAACAGGAUCUAGUUUUUGCUAUUUGUUAGUUACAAUUAUAAUGGUACUGAUGCUAGAUAAUUCUAUGUUUACAGACCAGGCAACAUCUUUAAAGAAGGCAAAUGUGAAAGCAAUGAUAAAGCUAGUCCAGCUUCUGAAAGCACUGAUAAAGGUUAGUGAGGUCUAAAUGAUUCAAGAAGUAUUUAGAUCCACAAUUAAAUAUGAAGUUGUCGUGAUGUGUUAAUUGUUUUUCGAAAAUGAUUUUACUAUAUUCUCUGUUGACAUGUAUGUUAAAUUCUGCAAUUGGUUGAUAAGAUAUUAAAGUAAUACUACUUGUUUAUAUGAAUUAACAGAAUAUUUAGAUUCUGUAUAUGUUUUUGGAAUUAGUAAACUUUUAAUAGUUUACCUUUUUGUACUUAAUAUGAUUUAAAUGUAAAUGAAAAAUUAUUUAAAACAAAGUUAUGCUGAUAUUAAUAAUCAAAAUUUCUGAAUCUAUAUUAUUAAAAGAGAAUUGAGAGAAUAACAGACCAAGUUUGGUAAAAUAAUCUCUUCAAUGGAAGUCGUAGAUUGAAGAGAUUACUACCAAAUUUCCAUUUCCAUACCAGCUUCUACCUGUUCAGACAACCAAUAAGAAAUUAGUAAAGUGUAACAGGUGAAAAUAAUAAUCAGUUUUUAUUGAUUGUUACCUCUUAAACCAAAUGUCUUUUGCAAUGUGUAAGCUUAUAGGUUCUGAAAGACUUCCUUAAACACCACAUUCAACGUUUCCUUGUGCGGCUUUCCUUCUUUGUCCACUAUGAGUAUCUUCAGUCCUUUUUUUGAAGUUACCCUUGAGAUAGCUACAUAGAGUUGGCCAUGAGAAAAGCAUGGCCUUGGUAGAUAGAUGCCAACCUUAUUCAACGAUUGUCCCUGGCUUUUAUUAAUGGUCAUAGCAAAAGCAACUGCUAUUGGAAGUUGUCUUCGACGCAUUUUAAACGGAAGUUUAGUAUCAGAUGGAGAUAUCAAUAUCCUGGGAAGGAGGACUUUAUCUCCGACUCUAUCACCUGUAAUAAUGACAGCCUCAAUGACUUUAUCACCCAUUUGUGUUAUUUGCAGUCUAGUGCCAUUCAUUAGCCCUCCUCUUGGAUCUAAAUUUCGUAGUAACAUCACAGGACAACCAACUUUCAACCUUAUACCAUGAUUUGGCAAUCCAGAUAUCUUUAGACCGUUCAAAAACUCUGAUGUCAACACGGGAUUAUUUGUACCUCCAAUAUCAGAAGGAUCAACAGAAUCUGAACUUAGGUAUAGUUGUUCAUCACCUACAAAUAAUUUAAAAUGUCUUUAUAAUACAUCAUAUCUCAAUGAAAUGCCUAAAAUAUUAAGAGUAGUGGAGACUAACCUUCGAGUUGAUCAAGCAUAUAAUCGUUGACAAUACCCACAUCUUCAUUGGUAGGACAUAAAAUAGCCCUUUGUUGGAAAAAUACAGGAUCGGUUUCAUCCUUCAAUAACUUAGGAUCUCCAUAAACUUCCCUGCUUAUUGCCUCAAUUGGAUUAUCAGCGUUUGUGAUCAAAAACUCUUUUGGAAUUUCUAUCAUCACUUCUCCAUCAUUAGGCUGUGCUAUCUUACCAUCACCAACUGCUAGAAUCCACUCUGAAAAUUCUUUUAUAUCCUUAGCCUCACUUGGACUCAAAUCCUUUGAAAGUAGCCUCAUAUUUUUCGUGAGUUUCAGAACUUUGCAAUGAUUCCAAAGAUAAGAAGCAUUAAGUGCAGCCAUACAAAUUUCUGCUCUCGAAGCACCAUGUAUCACAGGUAGUACUUGUCUGAAAUCUCCACCAAAAACAACUACUUUGCCACCAAACGGUUUGUUUCCACCACCUUUAAUAAUGUCUUUGAAACUCCUAUCCAUAGAUUCAAAACAAUGCUUACUCAUCAUUGGAGCUUCAUCCCAAAUUAUCAAAGACGCUUCUUCUAUUAAUUCUGCCUGAUUUGAACCUUUCUCAAUAUUACAUACAGUGAAGUCGUCUGGAUUUAUUGGAAUACCAAACCGAGAGUGCGCUGUUCUCCCACCAGGUAACAAUAGAGAAGCAAUGCCGCUGGAAGCCACAUUUAGCACAAUAGAACCUCUAGAUCUUACAGAAGCUGAGAGUGUCGUAUAUAUAAAAGUUUUACCAGUUCCACCAAAGCCAUAGACAAAGAAGACACCUCCCUUGUCAUUAUCAACAGCAUCGAUGAUCUCUAAAUAAACACUCUUCUGCUCAUCUGUCAUUUUCUGCAACGAUUCUUCAAGUUUUUCCUUCUGUUCAUUGCUAUCGUAGCUUUUUUCAUCAAGUAUCAAGACAUUACUAUCAUCAAUUUCCUCAUCAGGUAACUGUGGCAUUGUUCUGAAAGCUGUUAGAGAUGUUCCAUUGCUUCGUAAGAUGCUGUUGAUUUCUUUUAAAGCCAACAUCUGUUUUUGCUCGUCCGUAAGUGUUAGUUCUGUGUCCCAAAAAUAUGUAAAAAAACAGUGUUAUUUGUAAGACAGAAUAAUCAUGACAAAAACUACUUAAAAUUGCAAAGUAACAACUCUUUAAACCAACCAAAGAGACUAAAUUAUUUGAUCAAAAAUUACCUGGUCUUUUAAAGUACUCUCUCCUUUUUCUUUCGAUGUCUUCUGAUAGAAGUUCCCAUGUUUUUUCCCAAACAACUUCUGGUUGAGAUAAGCUGGUAGACUGGAGCAUUACAACAAACAUACAACGCAAGUAGUUUCCAGUAGCCCAAAAACUGGUUGUCUUUAUUGUAUCAAUAUACUCCUGGUCAUCGUCAAGCAAACCCAGAGCAUAACAUGCCUCCUUGAACGAUUUGUACACCACGCCAUUCACUGUUUUGAUGUCUUCGAAACUUUCAGGUCCAGUUUGAUGAUUUAGAAGCACUCUUAAAUAAUAACCUUCCUCAUAAAUAAGUGGGACAUAAUUAAUCCUUCCGAUUGUUUUCCCUGGUCGCUUCCUCAUAUUGAAAGUUCUUGUUUUACCAUCCCAAGUAUAAUAUUCCGGAAUCUGAGUAUAUGUUAGAUCUUUGGCUUUAGGACACCGCUUGUUCAAUUCAAACCAAGCAAGAAACAUCGAAUUCUGUAAUUCUGAUUUUUUCAAAACUGUUUUCACCUCAUCAUCACCUUUAAAAUAUAAUAGUUGUUUGCCUGGUAGAUGGAAGGAUAAUCUUUGAACAGACGUUGACCUAUAAUGUAUAGGAUUUUUCAAGAUUCUCCAUCCAGCUUCACAUGCUGAUACAUAUCUGAUACAAUAUCAUAAAACAUGUAUUAGUUAGAAAUGAGUUAAGCAUCUAAACUAUUUACCUAAAUCCAAGUAGAUUUUAUACCUGCAAUUAAAGAAGUCUUGUAUUUCAUUUUUACUUGUGCCCCCACUGUUUGAACUAUCAGACUUCUCUGUAGUAGUUGUAGUCUUUGUAGACUUUUCAUUAGGCUCAACAACUACUGAAACUCUGUCCAUCCCUUUAGUGAUAUACUUGAAUAAAUACUUGAUAGAGCCAGUUUGGUUACACCACUCAACAUUAAUAUGAGCUCUGUAGCGAAGCAGCAACUUCUUGUUAUAGGGUAUAACAUAUCCGUUGUCACACCUAAAUCCACACUUCUCCACAAACAGCUUUGUCUUUCUUCUUCUGUACAAAGGGAAACCUUCUUUAUCAACUUUAGUAUGUUCUCUAAGUUUUUUUGGGAAAAACUUAGAACAUUUCCCUUCAAGCAUACAUGGUGAAUUCUGGUUGACGACGCCACAUGGUCCAUGAAUCAUCAUGUCUUUUACGACCUCAUAAAGUUCUGGUUCUUUAGUCUUGUCAGGAAUUUCCGCAGAAAUGAUUUUAUCAAUGUCUUCUGGUUUUGGAAACUUAGAACUUGGAUGCAUCCAUAUCAAUAUAUGUGCAUGAGGAAGACCUCUUUUCUGGAACUCAAUUGUAUACAUUGCUGCGAGAACAACAUGAGAUAAUAAUAUUAGUUAAACGACAUUUAGAAAAAUAGCAGAAACAGAUAAUUAAAUUAUAGACUGUUAACGCAACUAUUAAAAUAAAUCACUUACAUGAAACAGUCUUCCCCAAUAUAUGUUUCUUCGUUAAAUCAUCCAUUAGAGAAUUCAGCUUCAUUUUGAACAUUCUGCUUAUGAUCUCUGGCCUAUCAUCGGAAUUACAAUUUCUAUCAGUACAAAAGCUUACCAGCUCAGUCCAUUUUGGAUUGCAUGUGAACGUAAUGAAUAGGUCAGGAAAUCCAUAAUGAUUACAUGUAGACAUUGCAUCCAUGUACAUGUUCUUCAUGUAUCUUGGCCCACCAACAAAAGUAGCUGGUAGAUAAAAUGCUUUUCCUUCUUCAUUCAUAUCUGUCUUUCCUGCUGUUGCCGCCUCUUUAACUGAAUCAUAGUUAGUAGCUCGUAAACUUGACUGAUUCAGUUUAAUAUAUUUGAGCCUAUUAGCUUCAAUGGUGGUAUAAGCAUCAACCAAGAACUGCUGGUACAACCGUUUGGACCUUAGCAGGAUACUUUGUUCAUUCUUUCUCUCUUGUAUACGAUACGCAUACCAUUGACGCAAACUUAUGCAAUCAUUCUCCUCAGUUCCUUCGGGCUUGUUUUUCUUUUUACCAUGGUUAUUCCCUUUCUGAAUACCUGUCCUAUAACCAUCUUCACCCUUUGGAAACAAUAGAGGGUAUUGUAGAGCAAGAUAACAUGGUUCUAUUUCACUGAUUCUUUGUAAAUACCCAGAUUUUUCUUCAAUAAUAAUGUCACGACUUGGCAUACCAAUGUGAAAAUCACCUGGAAUCAGCGCUGCGACCUCCGAAGCUGUUGGCACUGCAUAUGUUCUUCCAUCUUUGACACGGUCACUCACUAUUUUCAUAUGAAAGCUCUGUUCAGGAUUGGUAUUAAACCUAUCACGAGCUUGUCUAAAAUGAGCAACGUAUGGAUUAACUUCAUUUAGCAGCUUUAUUAUCGCCUCAAUUAUUUCUUUUCUCAACUCUGACUUCUUCUUAUAUUUCCCAGCAGAUUUUCCUUUGCUGAAAUAUUAAUUUAGUUAGCAACGACACUAAUACUUACAGAAAAAAACACAAAGUCUGGAUACUGUGAUGGCUUGUUUUGAGUUAGAAAAUGUACCUUAAAAUUCCUGCUCUGUUUUCAACUUCAUUCUCUGUGUCAACUAUAUAUAGCUGACUAAACUUAGGAAAUUCACCUUCUCCAGGUUUCAAACUUCCCAUCUGGUGGUAAUUCUCUCCUUGUAUCUGAAACAUAUUAGGACCCCUUCCCGCUGUAACAGAAUUAUCACACUUACCCCCAAGAGAAGUAAAUGAAAAAAUCAUGUUAUAUGCUCGGAUGUUCUCUCUAAAGUGUCUACUCAUGUCAUCAUCAUUGGUUAGCAAAGCAAAUAACAGUUCUGGUUGAUUAUGGAGGAAAGGCAGUUUCACAGAUCCUUGCAGACAACAUUGAGUAAAAAUUGGUUUACGAACUUUCUUAUGUCUGUUGAUGCGUUCGCCAUACCACAUAAUAGCACCGCAGUAGGAACAUGAGUAGACAGGAUCUCCAUGAUCUAGAUACUCUACAAUAACGGGAAUAAGUUUAGCAUAAGUAAAGUUUGUGUAAGAAAAGAAUUAGAAAUAAACCAAUGAUGUAGUACCUGUGUUUUUGUUCUUUCUGAUAGAAACAUUAGGAGUUUUUAUUUCUCCAAAAGCUUUGGUCAAACUUUCAUCUAACAUUGAUAAAAACUCAUAUCUUUGUUUGACUUCGAUUGGGAUAUCGUCUAUGGUUUCAUAAUCUUCAGAUGUUUCUGAAUCAUUUUCAUCGAUGGUACUCACUAUUUAAUUGAAACACGAUCCAGCCCUUUAGUGAUAAACUUGAAUAACUUUUUGAUAGAUUGAUUUUGGUUGCACCUACUAACAUUACCUGAUCAAUAGAGAGGUCAUUACGUUGGUCAGUCUGCUGGUCAGAAUCUUCAAUAGUAUCUAGAUUGUCAGAUUCAUUACCCAGCCAAACGGUUGAAACCUUGUAGGUAUCAUCAGUUUCAUUGAUGUUUUCCUUUCCAACAGUCACCAGAAACUGGAAAGUCUUUCCAACCAAAUCUCUGAUUGGCUGAGGCAAGUUUGUAGGAUCCUGAAUCUGUUAUGAUAGAUUGAAAAAAGUAUAUAAGAUAUUUGAAUAAUAUGGUCUAUAUACAUAUUAACAAUAAAUUUGUUUACCUCAUCCCACUUCCCUUCCAGCAAAUCCUCUGCAGACACACCGAUUAUCUCUUGUGCACUUUUAUCAAAGAUAAGACAUUUAGUGUCUCCAGUGCUAUCCAUCACUCCAACGUUUAAAAGAUACCUACAUAUCAAAGGAACAGGAAAGUAGAUUAUGUACCUAGUUAUUAUCUGACAAAUGUAGAUAUAUAUUAGCAAAUCUCAAAGUCUUACCUUGGUAUCACCUUAGGAGUGUCUUCCUUACAUGUUGGACACCAAAACAUUUCUUUCUUGCCUUUCUUGACAAUCUCAUUUUCAACCUUUGGAAUCUUAUAGGCAGUUUUGCUACACUUGAGGCAACUAAAGAAAUACCAAGAAUAGUCUGUGUCGAUAUUCAUUAUGGUACAAAUUAUGUUGCACUUUCCAGUCUAUUACAAAAAAAUAGAUAAUUAGUAGUAUAGACAGAGAAUUUAAUAGUUUCUAGAAAAAAUAAUAUUAUCCAAUACAAAUACCUCAGCAAAACAAAAGAGUCCAGAGAUGGUUUUCCUUGGAAAACGAUCAUAGUAAUCCUUUUUUCUCUGUUCUGCAUUCACUUGUUUUGCCUUCGAGUCUUCGAUAGUCAGUGGAAUAACAUCCGGUGGUAAACUAUUUUUAACAAAUAAAAGAACACGAAAUCAACUUUAGAUAUUAUAAAAAGGAUUAACAGUUAUCUAUAUUAGUAAAAGAAAUGUGAUGUUUAAACAUAUCUUACUUGGCCACAAAAUCAAGAACAGCAGGGUAGGUAGCAUUGAUUUCCAAUAGAGACAUAUCAAAUGAAUUUGAAACAGCUCUUUCACCUACAAACAGCAUGAUAUUAGUAUUUUCACAUAUGUUCUGAUUUCAUUUCGAUUUCAAAAUCAUCCAUUAUUCCCAGUAACAACAUUCUAUACCUUUAAAUGAGUUGAUCUUUGCAAGCCGAAGUAAGCAUAUCACUCUCUCAGUCCCUGCAUUUUGACAUGCAUUAUACAUUGCCUCAGCAAAUCUCCCCCAAAGAGUGCAUUUCAGCCUUUCAUCACUACAAUACAACAAAAAUAUUGAGAAAGUUUUAAGUUUAGAUGUAUGUAAGAUUAAAUAAAAAAGGUAGAUUCAUGAUAAAACUUACUUUGUGUCUCUGAGUUCACACUCAAGUCUCUUUGUGAUCUUGUUAUUAACAUCAUGAAUUUUCAUUUCAUUGAAACUAACUACCUGUCCAAGUACAUCUGCAAAAUAAGAGAGUAAUAUAUUAUAUUUUCAUGAAGAAGUUCCUAUUAUAAUAGAAAAAGAAAAUAUACAAUGGAAAGUAAGAUAGAUAUAGUACCAAUUAAGAUGUUUUCACUCAAUCCUGCUUCAUUCAAAAUAUCUGGAAAGUUUGCCAGAUCCACAUAAAUGUCAUCAGAAACAGAAGGAGUGCGACUUAUCACAGUUUUUUCCAUCAUGGACAUUUUGAAACCAUGUUUUGUGGCUCGAUACUUUCCUGUUGAUUUGGUUAGCGUAAAAUGCUCGAUAAUACGCCAUUCUCCAGAAACUAUGAACCUUUGCAGUUUGCUCACUUGUGGCUUCUUAACAGUAGCAUGAAUCAAAGUACCCUGGCAACAGAUAAAAAGAACUCAUGUUAAUCAUCCAGUGAUAUUGAUGAUUGAUAAAUGUUUAAUAUGUUUCAAAAUGAUAGUUCUUAUACUUACAGCUGUAUCAGCAAGAACCAUUUCAACUGUCUCCCCGGUGAAUUGAGUGUAUUGUGUCCACGAAUGCACAAUCUUAACUUGAAUUUUCCAAUGUGUUUUGAAGGGCUUAAUGUCAGCAAGAGGGGUGAAUGCUUGAAUAGCUGCCAUUUUAUUAGAGAAAUAGUGAAGUGGUAAUGGUAAAGCUUUGAAAGGUGAGUUCUUUCUAAUGCAGGUCCCUAUAUUUAUAGUAAUCAUAUGGAGCAUUUAGUUUUAUUAGGUUUUAGAGAAUAUAGGCCGUAUAAUAUAUUUUGGGAUUAGGAUCUUAAAGAUAUAUGCUUGAUUUAGGGAGAUUUAUUUGUUUGGUAUAUCAAUAUCGAACUGAAUAUGGAUAUUGUAGAGAUUGUGUGAGUUUGAAUACCAACUACUAAGGGAAAUAUAAUAAGUUAGAAUUAUAUAUCUUUCAAUAUAGAGAAAUUUGAAUGAUUGAGUUUUGCAUGUAAAGAAAUUUUUUAAAAUUGGCAUUGAUAGUUUGUGUUGAUAUGGAAAGAUCUUUGCGAGAUUUGGGCGAUAAUUAUCGAAUAGGUUACAAUAUUGUAUCUUUCCUAUUAAUAUAGGGUAAUAGGAAUUAAUAAGUUUUGCAUUUAAUUUGCCGUCUAAAUAUAUAUUUUUACAUUGGAAUGAACUGUUUCCGGUGAUAUGGUAAGAUUUUUGCGAGAUUUGAGUGUAAUUAAUCAAAAAAUUAAUUGCUAACUUAUUCCCGAUUUAGAAUAAGUAAAGAAUAUGCUUGAUUUGUUAUUAUAUGGAAUAGAAAUAAAUACGUUUUAUUUUAGGAAGUGUAAAUUAUGAGAUUUGUUUGUUAAAGCAAUAUACAGAGUAGUUGAUUGAUCCGGAAAAAUAGUUAUGGUAUUGUUUGAUUUGUGUUGCUAAUGUUUUUAUUUCGUAUUAUCUAUACAGAUUCGGAAAUUUGAAGUAAAAGGGAUUAACGAUGGGCCUGUAGGAAAUAUCUAAGCCCAAUAGGAAAUAUAGAAUCUCAUCGGGUCAGAUUCACAGACGCAAAAGAUCCGAGUGUAGGAUCCGGGAUCCGCGUCUCGCGUGCGGGAAUUUUACAAUUUUACCCCUCCACGCAAAUUUUUAUUUUGUCUUUGAAAUUUUAAUUGUAAUGGCAUUCUCUUGUAAUUAUUUACACUUGGUAAGGUUAUUUUUCAUGUAAUCCUUCCCAAUUAAUAGUAUAGAUAAUUAUGACUUGUGUGAAAUGAUUGUACGGUUUGAUAUAAGUUAAUGUUUUAGUUUAAUAGUUGAAUUAGUCAAACUAACUAUUAGAGGCAACGUACUAUGUACACGCAACAGUAAAUAAACAAGAAAAAUACCUUUUUCGUCAAAAUUUUAAAAAAUAGUUUAAAUCAUAUUGUUGACUCUAAAUUAAUUUUACACCAAUAAAUUGCAUGGAUUGAUAAUUUCUUAAUAAAUAAGAUAUGACUUUAAUUUCUUAUAAGCGAGAGGUUGCCAUUCAAACUUACCUUCAUUUGUUAAAUAUAGACUUGGCAAUAAAAAAUUGCAUGAACAGAAAAAUCCUCCAAUAUUAUUGCGAGGAAGAAAAUGACGUCUCUAUGACUCUAUAUAUGUACAUAUAUGGUACGUUAGACUAGGUACACAUGCAGCUUGAUAGAGAAGACGAAGAAGAAUGGGUUCGAAAAUAUUGAGUAUUGGUCUUAUUCUAUCUCUGUUUCUUCUUUGCUUCUCAUCUGAAAUUGGAGUCAUUGAGGCUACUAGCCGAAAAUUAGGUGAGUAAUUGAUUUCUAAAUCUUCUUUUAAUAUUAUCUUAGCUUCAUUUAUGUAUACACUUGUAAAGUUUGUGUUCAAACUUAAUAUAGAGAAAGCAAAAAUUGGCACUCCACCAUCUAAAACAUGCCGAGGUAAAACACGAGGAGGAGGAUCAUCUUCUCGAGGGUGGAGGAAGAGACCGUGUCCACGUCUUGCUUGAACAUCCACAAUAAACCCUUGAAUAAGAAGAAAAAAAAAAGAUCACUCGUUCAUGUUACGUUACCAGUGAAACUGUUGUGCACCUGCAGUGACUUUGAGUUAUCUCACACUGUUGUCCAUUUAUAUAUAUAGACCAAAUAUUCAUACAAUAAAUCUUCAAACUUUGAGUUAAAAUUAAACGAAAGAUACAGAUUUUUGUUUUGUUGUUUAUGUUGAACAAAAAUUAAAUGAAUGAUAAAUUAAAAAAAUAAAAUAAAAUAAAAAAUGUAACAAUGAAUAAAAGCAUUAGACACCAAAAAAUCUCGAGGUUAUCAUAAAUUGUCUAAAGCGGAUAAACUAUAUAGAAAAUUUUUCGAAUAAUCGAUCUAGAACUCUAACCACUAAAUAUGAUUGAGUAACUAUAAUUAAUGAUAUCAACGACGAGAUCUAAAAAUCAAGAAACUUAACCAUUGUACGUUUUAGUUCUAAGAGAUAAUCUACAUAAUUGUUCGAGUUAAUAUGUUGGGAUGACGAUGUAUUUCCCCCCCAUAACUUUCGUAUAGCACCACUUCCACCCAAAGUUUCACUCUCUCUCUCUUUCUCCCCAGAAUCAAAGUUCAAAAAUUAUUUCUCCCCAAAUCUAAAAUUCGAUACAUAUCUUCACAUAAUGGUUGGUUUACUGGGUUGACGACGUAAACCCGAUACGAAACCAAAAAACCCAUAGGCCAAACCGAAUUGAAAACCAGAAUCGAGUUAAUACCCGACCCGUAACCCGUGAUAUCAACAAUUGUUCAUAAAUCCCCAAAUUGAGAAAUCACAGAACCCUAAAAAAGCUUUGAAUUCAAAUCACCACAUCAAAGCUCCGAUAUCAAAUCAUCACAUCGAAGCUCUGAUUUCUUGCAUCACAUUGAAGAUUUCAAAGUAAUUUCAAUGACGCCUUGAUACACUUACGUAUUAACCGUCUUCCUCCUCGUUUGAAGUCAAAUCAUUAGGUGUCACAAGCGAAGACAAUAAAGGAAGAGAAGAAUCUCCCAAAAUGUAACGAGGAACCAAUACUCCAUUCCCAAGUUUGGUCGGAGCUCCAUUGAGAAUUAAACCCGAAUCUGUGAACAAGAGACUUGUAAAAAGCAUCGUGAGCGAGACAGAACAUUGUGACCAAGUUUGAAGAAAUGGAUGAUUGUUGUUAUUCUAUGUUGUAAGAUCUUGAUUGGUUAAAAAAAUGCUUGGUUGAUUCGAUUGUGAUCUAAUGAUGUUACUGAAAAAAAUGCAUUCAACAGAAAGAAAAAAAAAGAGAAAAUGGAAGUUAAAAUUGCAUUCAAUAUGCAUAUUUUGUCUCAGACCAAUAACAUAACAAAAAAUAGUUGAGAAGAAUGAAAAAUAGACCCUUAAAACAGACCAAAAGCUUUUACAAAAAAAUAGACCAAAAGCUUCUUCUACCCUCCCUCCAAGCUCAGUUCAAGCUCAUUUCCUGCGUGACAGUUCCUUGAGAAGGUUCACCUUGAGGAACCUGUAGUAACAACACAAAUAAAAUAAGUUAAACAAAGCAUAUAAAACAUAGUAUAUAGACACAUUAGAUAAUGAAACACAAACCUCUUUCUUCUUCUUAUGAAACCUAGAGUUGUGAUUAGCCGCACCACAUACCCCACAAUGCAUAACUCGUUUCAGAAGCUUUGGUUGCUUCUUUAAAGGAGACUCAUUUUUUCCUUUCUUUCUUUUCACCUUCUUACUCUUUUUUUUCCUGCCAGGCUGUGGAGGCUCAGGAGGUGGAUGCACUGGAGGAGCUGUUCUAACAGGCCAAAACCUUGCACCUCUUAAUGGAACUAGACCCUCUGUGUAGUUCCUCUUCCACUGGGCUGUACGAAACCAGUGGCAGACGUAAUCCUCGGCUUUAAGUUUCAACUUAAGGAUAACACCAUAUGCAUGUACACAUGGGAUUCCUGUGAUCUCCCAUUUCCUACAGCUACAAGUCCUCUGAUUCAAACUCACACGGUAAGAACAACCAGACAACAUAGCUAAAAACAUUUUAUUUGUACUUCUGUGAACCUUAACUUCUGCAGCAUCUUCAAGCUCUUUUGCAAGAUAUGCUUCCACAUAUGGUGUACAUAAACCCUUGUGAUCAUGAGAUUUAACACUUCUUUUGGCAAUACGUACCAUUGCAAGUCGAGCAAUCAUUUCUAACAUAGGCACCAGUGGCUUCUCUCUUGCUUUGACUAUCGUAUUGUUAAAUGAUUCUGUGGAGUUGUUCUCAACAUCUUCAACAUAGUGGCCAAUUUUGUAGAAAGCUCUACACCAACUCAUUGGGUUCUACUUCAUCACAUCCUCAUAAACACCCAUAUCAUAUUGCUUCAAUUUCUCUAGGUUUUCUCUAUACUCAGCCUCAUUGUAACUCCAUGCUAGAUUCCAGAUAAAAGGCUUCAUCUGUGAUUUCUUACCAUGAUUUGCCUUUAAAUUUCCAUAUAUGUGUCUCACACACAUCCUAUGUUCAAUAUGGGGUAACUCUAUCUCCACAGCUCUAAUCAAUCCCUGUCACUGUCGGGAAUGACAUCGUGACGAAUACACGGCUCAUCAAUGAAUUCGAUUACUGCUUGCUCGAUGUUGAAAUCAUUUCGUGCGGUUUGGUCUUCUAGAUUUUCAUCAUCGGGUUCCUCAUCAAUAGGAACAUCGUUCAUCUCGCUCUCUAGAACUGACAUCGAUGAAGAUCAAUGAACUUGCAGGUUUUGGUUUCGUGAGGAAGGGUUUUUGAUAUGGGGACAUUUAUAAGUUGAGGGAUUUUAUGAUUUGGGUAUUUAAUCGGGUUUGGGUUUCGAGUUAAAUUUGUUUAGGUUUGGUUUAAGUUUGUUUAUGCUGGUUAAAACAAGAUUAGUCUACAGUAAACCAACAUUAACCCAACUUUAUGUGAAAAUUAGUUUUGAACUUUCAUUUUAUGUUGAAAUAGGUUUUUAACUUUAUAUCUAGGGAGAAAUAAUUGUAGAACUAUGAUUCUGGGGAAAAAUAGAGAGAGUGUAAAACUUUGGGUGGAAGUGAUGUUAUACGAAAGUUUUGGGGGGGAAUUACCUUGUCGUUCCUAAUAUGUUUACAAACUGUCUUAGAAAUAUAUAAAGCCCUUUUAGAGAAGUUUUGCUCAUCUAUGUUAUUUUCGAAAAUUUAUCUAACACAUUUAGUGCGUUAAUUCACGUAAAACCAUAACCUAGCUACCAACCCCGGUUCUAAAUAUAUUUGGACAUUUGGGCAAAAAAAAUUUUUUUGGAUUUUUUUGAAUUUUUGGUUAAAAUCGGGACUAUUUUGUAAAUAACUUUUGUCUUAUUUUAAAUUUUCAAAAAAAUAUACAGGCCUUUUUAUGUAAAAGAAUAUAAUUUUGAAAAUUUUGGGCCUAUUUAUUAGAAAAUUUCAUGUCUAUUUGCAAUUGUUUUUCAAAUAUGGGCCUUUUUCAUAAAUGUUUUUAACAAAAAUCUAUGGUCCCCUCGGCCACUGCCCCUCUGUCCACUCUUUUUGGUCCGGGCCUACUAGCUACUUACUUUAAUUUUUGCAUUGUGAUUUACUAGUGACAAAAAAUUCUUAAGAGUAAUGUUGUAAAUCCUAUCUUUAAUAUAUUCGAUUUUCUCUGAUUGUUUGCUCAGAUCUCACAAAUCGAUUUAGAACCUCAGCUCAAGAACACGAUUAAACAAGAAACAAUAAAGAACCUGAAACUCAAUUUGUUAACCCGAUUCAGCGAGAUCGUUGUGAUCACGCCUACAUCCGGAGCCGAAUCAAUCCGGCAAAUUCACUAGAAUAAGAAGGAAUCAGCUCAAAUCCGACCUUACAAUAGUCAAACAAUGGUGGUUCUCUUUGCUCUCUCUCACUCGAUACAAGAACAAAGAAAUAUGAAAGUGAUUAUGAAGUUAAUGAAGAAGAAACUUAUAUCAUGUAUGAUGUAUCUCUGUAUAAAACAUAAGACCCUCCAGGGGCGGAUUUAGAACUAUAUUUAGUAUAGGGCAUUGUUAUAACUAAUAAUUAAAUUAUAGAGCAUUUAAAUAAAUUUUACACUAGUUAUUCAAGAAAAUUAAAAAUUUAGAGUGGGGCAUAUGCCACACCUAGUCUCUUCUUGCAUCCGCCUUCACUGCAGUUUAAGAUUUCUCUUGACUUUAUCACAUUUGUCGGUUUAAUCAGCAAUCUCCAAAACCGGAAAUAACCACAUGGUUCAACUCUUAUUGAUCCAAUCAGACCGACGAGACCAACCUGAAAUUGAAUCAGACAUAUAAACCAUGACACUCCACCUUGAUUCAAUUUCCUUCCUUCUAUAGCAAAUUUGCACUGACCAUGGAUUUAACCUCCGGCAAAGACGACUUCUCGUUAUAUUUAGAAUUUGAAUCAGUCAUAUGCCACUGCCAGCUUGCCACUCAAUACAAAAUUAUAGUAAAAACUGGUCGUUACUAUAAAUAAUUAUUAUCUUGGAUUUUCUUCGCGAUAUUCGAUUUUUAUGUUUAUUUGAGUUUAUUAGGCUUUAUUGUAUAUAUUGUUAGAACUUAUUUUGAUUAGUUGCGCUGGACUAUUUUUUCAGGUAAUUUUCAAAAUUGAAGUUCGUUUGAAUGAGAAAUGGAGAUCCAAAAUAAUUAGCUUGAAAAGCUUAAGAUUUUGACUAAAGGUCAAAGUGAUUAUUUUGGAUGUUAGAGGAGAAACCCAAAUACACAUGGGCUGGAUUUGGGUUUGAGACAUGGGGUUUUGACUUGUGUUAGUCAAACACAAUUGUCUUCUCCUUUAAUUUGAUUUUGUAACAUUUGUGUUAAUGACAAAAUCAAUUAGAAAUGUGUAACCUAUGAGCAUUGAUCAUGAGAUUAAUGGUGGAAGAUUUCCUCUCUCCAAGCAAGACAUUAAAUGUCUUGACCUAGUCUCCAAAUCUUUUGUAGACUAUAAAAGAGAGAGUCUUGGGUCUCAUUCAUAUGAUGGAUCAAAAAGAUCACAAUCUCUUUCCUCAUCUUUUCUCUAGUUAUCGAGUCUGAGAGUAUACACAUCACUAGAGUUCGUUAGCCUUCUGAUUUUGAGUGUUGCAAAUCAGAAGAUGGUGCGGUUGUAUCCUGAGAUUCUGAUUGCAUCAAACCGUCACAUUAUGGACAAUUAAAGAAUUAAGGAAAGACUGUCUCGCCUCCAUACAAACUGUUCUUUUUUAUCAAAUAUUGAUAUCGUUGCUGUAUUUUUAUUAUGGUUUUUAUCAUCAUCUAUUACAAUCAUUCAGUUUUGCCACAUCGUAGAAAUCGUUGUCUUACUUAUGUUGGUUGGAUUUAUACGGAAUUUGAAUUGAUCACGAACUAGAGUAAAAUUCAACACGCCUUCUUUUUCAUAUCGAUUUUGUUUUGCGGAAUAACGAAGGGAGAAAAAAAAAAGUAAUCUGGAAAUUAGAAAAAAUACAUUGAAUACCAAUAUAACUACUUUUUCUUGUGAUCUACGUCUUUGAGGAGACAACAUUCCCAUAAUAUAUUUAUCAAAGUACAAGAGCUUACAAAAAACAACACUGAUGAAUUUCAAUAUAUAUAACCGCGAAGGAGAUGAAGCUUUAAUUUGUUUAAUAUUAGAAGAAAAAAGUGCCAUUAUUCUAAAACGGUUCCUAAAUCCUAACAACCCGUUUGCAAGUGACUCCCUCGUAAGCUACUUAAUGCCCCAAUUCUGUUAAUGCUCUAUAAAGUCUCUGAGUUCCAUUUGGGUAAAACUUGACCUCUCCUCCAGCAAGAGUAUUCUCCACACAAGGGCUAUUUAAUCCAAUGAUACAAUUUGAAUUACGUAAUGAAAAUAAAAAUAUGAAAAUUAAUUAACAAAAUAUAAAUAAUGAAUUGAAAAGUUACAUAUUAUAUAAAAAUGAUUAAAAUCAUACAAAAAUGAUAUCUGGACAUUAGAAAAGUAACAUACAUAAUAACCAAAUAGCUAAAUCUACUAGUCUGGCAUCUGCAAUAUGAAGAAAAAUUCGUAAAUAGCCUCAAUUUUUUUUUUUUUUUUUUUGACGAAAAAUUACCUCAAAAUCUUUAUAUUGAACAUCAUUAUCCUCCUUCAUUUCCGUCAUCACCUCAUUGCUUUACGAGAUGUUUCGUCCCUUGAUGCUUUUCUUGUCAGAUGAAUUUUCCCCAAAACGUUCCAAUCAUGGAACUCGGAGUGAUCGAGGAUGAAGUGGCACCGCCUUCGGAAUGAAUUCUAAGUCGUACCGACGGCCUUAUUCACUAAAACACUCUUUACAAAAAGUUAUAAUAGGGAGAAUUAAUAGUUAGAAACUAGUUAACUCACCAAGAUAGAAAAAAUUUACUUACUGAUUGGUAGACCUUGUCCAAAUUGGUUUUUGAUAUCUUUCGGGAUUGGAUUAACUUGACUGCAUGAAUCCUCAGAGAGCGAAAGCUUAGAUAAUUUCUUGUUAACCUUCUUCUUGACAACCUUGAUGAUGGUGUACUAAUUAAACCUUCUCGUUGACAAUUGUUCUGUUGGACUUCCUCUUAGAAGUCACCUUUAGAAGGGUGAUAUGAGGUAAUCUUUAGAAGCGUGGUAUGAGGAAGAAGUUCUCUUCUUCUUCUUCAAUCUCGAGCCAAUCCGCAUUUUCUCCCGCGAGCCCGAGUUGCUCGUGUGCGGCCAAAGCAUCCGCCGGGUCCAGACUUGUGAGCCCUAGCCGCUCGUCUCUGAUCAGUCGUCGUUCACUUUCUCCGCUUCUUCCUUGCUUCGCUGCCAGUGUGUGUGUGAGGAGAUAUAGAUAUCCAAGCUUCUAGUGUCUGAGAGAUGGAUCCAUAAUCUAGAUCUAAACCCUAAAGUUCCUAAAUCUUACAUCUCUGAAACCUUAGUUGUCAAAACUACUAGAUUUAAAAAAUGUGGUACAUUUGGCAAAAAUCCAUUUUUAUAAAACCAUUUGAUAUUAAUUUUAUAAUAAUAAGUUACAUGAUUUUGUGAUAAAAGAAAGUAUAUGUUGCAUACAAACGAUUUAAACAUUAAGCUAAUACAUUUCCAUUUUUUAUGAUUCAAGCUAACCAUAAGUUAAAAUUUUGUCUGAUUAAUAUUGUAUCAAUUAUAGUUUGCUUUUGUAUGUCAAACAAUAUUUUAGAAUUAAGCAACCUGGUUUGGUUUGAUCUUUGCAAUUUUCCAAUAUUAAAAACUUGGCACAAAAGCAUUUGAUAUUAAUUUUAUGGUAAUAUGUUGCAUACAAAUGAUAUGAUUAUGUGCUAAAAGAUAUGUAGAAUACAAAUUAUUUCAAAUAAGAUAAAUACAUUUCCAAAUUUUUUUAUGGAAAUUGUUUUAGUGUAUAAAAAGAAAAUAUGAUUAUUGGUCCAAAAAGAUAUGUGAUAAAAUAUUGUAUAAAUAUUUUACUUUUAUAUGUCAAAUAAAGUUCUCAUUUAUGAUCAUAUUAAAGUUCGUCAAAUCUUGAACUGAAAUAUCAUUAGAUUUUUUACAUUUUAAAUUUCAAUGAUGGCAAAAAGAAGUCCUCCAAUCUCACAUUUGCUUUUUGCGGAUGAUAGUCUCUUUUUCUGUAAAGCAGAUACAGAGCAGUGUAAAACGGUGAUGGAUAUUAUUGGAAAUUAUGGCAAAGCUUCAGGGCAAGAGAUAAAUUUCAAUAAAUCUUCGGUCAUAUUUGGUAAGCGUGUAGCACACCAAAAGAAAGAUGAACUAAAACAUUUCCUUGGUAUUACUAAGGAAGGUGGAAUGGAUACUUAUUUGGGUAUACCAGAGAGCCUAGGGGGCUCAAAAAAUAAAAUCUUUAAUUACGUUCGGGAAAGACUUAAUGAACGGAUUAAUGGUUGGUCAGCUAAAUAUCUGUCAAAAGGUGGGAAAGAGACUAUGAUCAAGUCUGUUGCUUUGGCUCUCCCAACAUAUGUUAUGUCUUGUUUUAAACUUCCUCAAGAGUUAACAUCUAAGUUAACAAGUGCUAUUUCUAAUUAUUGGUGGAGUUCUAAUGGGAAAGACCGUGGAAUUCAUUGGAUAGCAUGGGAAAAAAUGUGUAUGGAUAAAGAAGAAGGAGGUUUGAGUUUUCAUUCUCUAGAUACAUUUAAUGAUGCCAUGUUGGCUAAACAGUAUUAGAGGUUAAUCCAGUAUCCAAACUCAUUAGUAGCUCGAGUGUUAAAAGGUAGAUAUUUUAGGAAUGUUCAUCCUUUAAAUGCUAAAAAGCCAAACUCUCCAUCGUUUGGAUGGAAGAGUUUUUUUUCUACUAAAAGACUCGUUGAAAUGGGUGCAAGAUGGUCUCUUGGUUCGGGUUUUAACAUAUCGGUAUGGAGAGAUCCUUGGAUUCCCGAUGUUAAUCCACGCCCCGCAAAUGGCAGAGGGAAUUUGUUGCUUCCAAGCCUAAUGGUUAACCAUUUAAUUAAUCCGGUUACUAAAGAAUGGCACCUCCCAAUUUUAUAAGAAUUCUUGGAUCCGGUGGAUAUUCAAAUUAUUAGUGGACUAGCUAUUAGUCAAGUUUAUAAACCAGAUAGGCUUAUUUGGCAUUAUACAAAAUCAGGAAAAUAUACAGUAAAAUCAGGAUAUCGGCUUGCUCGAAGUUUGACAGAAACGACCGAAUGGGGUCCAAAUUAUAGAAAAUUACAAGCACAAGUUUGGAAAGUCAAAGCUCCACCAAAAAUAAAACAUUUCUUAUGGCAAAUUGCUUCGGGAUCCUUGGCAGUUACCUCAAAAUUAGCACAACGAGGGAUUCAUUGUGAUAUUAUCUGUAAAAGGUGUGAGACGGCAGAGGAAACAAUAAAUCAUGUUUUAUUUGAAUGUUCUCAUUCUAAAAAAAUAUGGGAAUUAUCCACAAUACCUAUGGUUUCAGGUUCUUUUCCUCUAAGCUCGGAAUUUUCAAAUCUAGAUUAUCUUUACUGGAGGUUACCACCUCCUCUAGAUGGGGGAGAAAGAACUAAUUGUUUUGCUUGGAUUUUGUGGUUCAUAUGGAAAGACAGGAAUAAAAAAGUUUUCAAAGGAAUUCAAUCUGAUCCCACAGAUAUUUUAAAUCACGCUUUGAACGAAAAAUUAAUGUGGGAAGAUGCUCAAUUGGAACCGAUCGAAACUAGUAUUGAUACGGAAAUUUUGGAAAGCCCUAUCCAAUCUAUAAGAUGUCGGAUUGAUGGCUCUUGGAAAUCUUCGGAUCCAACUAUGGGUAUAGGAUGGUGGUGUUUUCAAGGAAAUGAUCAAACGAUACUACUUGGUGCAAAGUGCCUCCGGAGAUCCCCCUCCCCCCUUCACUCGGAGAUGGAAGCGUUAAUUUGGGCCAUGAAGAAUGUCUUUUCAAGAAGGAUUGAUUGUCAGGCGUUUGAAACAGAUUGUUCAGAGUUAGUCUCGAUGGUACAAUCACCUGAAAAAUGGCCCGCUUUCUCUAAUCUGCUAGAUGCUUUUGGACUGCUCCGUGACUCUUUCCCCUUAUUCUCGCUUUCUCUUAUACCUCGUUUAUGUAAUGUUAAGGCGGACUGCUUAGCCCGUUCUUCUAGACUUUUAUUUUCCGAAGUUACUUUUGUAAACACUACUCCUCCUAAUUGGGCAACCAAUCAAGGUGUUAUUUAAUAAUUAAUGUGUGGUUGACAAAAAAAAAAAAAAAAUUCAAUUAAUAAUAUAUUAUUAUAGUUAAAAAAAUAAAAAUAUCCAGCAGAGAUACACUACUCAUUAAAGUAUUAUAAAAGAAUGAAAGUCUAUAUAUAUGCUUAUGACGCAAUUUCUUACAAUAUCUGUAAUUGGAGACUCAAACAUCUCUGACGGUUGAUUAAUUUUUUUUCUCUCUCUCGCUUCUACCUGUUCGCCCUAGCCGUCAAAGCCAUUUUCUUCCUCUCUUGGCCGGCGAUUGGUGGCUUCCAUAGCACGGUCGCCCGUCCCGUUCACCGUAGUUUCAGCUUCUUCUCAUUAGUUCAUCUUUGUUGUUAAUUUUGCUUCUCAAACCCUAGUUUCGCCGUCUCCUCCCAUUGUCCUUUCCUCCCUUCUUUGGUGGUUCCGACGUGGUGACUAUCAUGGAGGAUGGGUGGCGUAUUGGUGAUCUUCGUAGACGGAUCUGUUCCCCGGUGGAACUGUCUCGUUUUCUCCGAUCUGGUUAUAGAGGUCUGUGUUUUCCGAUCUGUUUCUAGUGUCUCAACAUUCAGCUCUGUUCUCGUUGGUUGGGGAAUCGGGAGUUGAUUUGUUGCAUGUUCCGGCUGGUUCCGAGGUGGAUCUGAAGAGUUCAAGUCCUGGAUUUUGUUGGCUUUGCGGUGGUGCUGUCUCUUGUGAGGCGUGUAUUUAGCCGGCGUUUCGUUUCCAUGACUUGUUUCUGAACAUCCUUUUGGUGUUGCAGCAACGGCCUCUUUGUGUGCGGAUUCUUCCUCUGUUAGUGAGUUUGGAUGACUUCUAGGGUUUGUGUUAUGCUGUGUUUUUCGAUUUGUUGUGAUUUGAAGCCUUAGGUUCAGCUUUUGGGUUGGCUUGUUUGACUCCUUGCUCUGCCUCUCUCUCUGUCCUCCUCUUGGUUUUCGGUGUGGUGAUUUGGCGAUAGGUUCUGUUUUGUGGGUUCUCCAUUCAGAUGCUAGCUUUCUACAAUGGCAUCUACUAGCUCUCUGUUGGAACCUCGUUUGGUUUCUCGGCUGAGUUCUGGACGUUGUGGUGGGUCGAUCCCUUGUCCUUCUCUUUGCGUGGCGUAACCAGUUUUUAGUCUGUAGGUGGCUUUGGCUGGGUCUACGAAGGUCCGUGUGUAAGGAUGGUUGGUCCUAUUUGGCGUUUCCCCUCUCGGAUCUCAAGGUUUUCCUUGAUCCUCCGCUUUCUCAUUCUCAUUGGCUCUAAAGUGGUGGUGGUGGUUAGGUUCUGUGUUCUGAUCUUCUUGCUUCGUCGUCUUCGUUUCUGCUGUGGAGAUGGUUGUGUGAGCUCGUUUAGUUUCCUUCUCGAGGCUCCUGUCUGUUGUCUCUCCAUGGCGUAAAACUGUUCUAUGGAAGUGUUAGUCGACUGCUUGUAGGGAAGAGUUGUCAGUGUUGUGGCUUUGGAGGCUUUAGCUAUUAUUCCUUUAGUUGUAAUCUUUGUAUCGUUAGGCUUGAUAUGUUUGUCUGCCUCUUAUGGCCUUAUGUCUCUGGGGGUUUCUAUGUACCUGCCGGCUUUGUCUCCGAAAGGUUUCCGUUCCUUAUCGGCUUUGUAUACCUUAAAAUCGCAUUCUAUCAAUGAAAUCCUUUAGACGAAAAAAAAAAAAAAAAGACUCAAACAUCUCUAAUCUUCUUUGUGCUCCCUUCAACAUUAGAGAAUUAUGACUCACCAUAAAUCUUGUUGCAUUAGGUUGAGGCUUGUCCUCAAAGAGCCUGCGUUGGUG
RNAcentral lists this long non-coding RNA (73579 nucleotides) under Arabidopsis lyrata. RNAcentral describes it as "long non-coding RNA (ALYR_LNC002750)". The record is from RNAcentral. Lineage: Eukaryota; Viridiplantae; Streptophyta; Magnoliopsida; Brassicales; Brassicaceae.